CUGCACUCCAUUUGUGAGUAUAUUUUAUUCUAUUUUAUCAAAUAUUACGUCACAUCAUCAGAGAGCACUAUUUGCUGUUUUUAUUCUCCCCUUCUCUUGAGAAUUGGAAAUCACUAUCGUCUGGAGGACAAGCACCCACAUAUCCUAUAAGCAGGGAUAAUUCCGCCGUAUGCCUGUUACACCUGAGCUGGCUAUAGCUCAUUUACAUGUGAGUGUUUAAUUUAUAUUUUAAUAUAUUUAUUACGUAUUCCAUACACUCUGCACGAUUUGUCCUCUCUCCUUGUGUCUUCCAUGUCACGAGACGAUUUGGACUACUAGAGACCUACCUCAGAUAUUUUAUUGGACUUUUUUUAUCGAAUAUAUACUUUUAUAUUUUAUUGUAUUUUUACUCUUAAUAUCUCUUAUCUCGUCGCAGCCUUUCUUUCUCCUUGUUGUACACUUUAAACAGAGAGGGUGAGAGGGUUACCCUCUGUAAGGUUGCUGCCUACCCAUUGUAUUAUUAGCGCUGACCUACCCUUUUUUAUCUUUCUGUAUUGUGUAUUUUUUACUUUAUAGAAAUCCAAAGAGGGAGAAUUUCUCAUACUGUGCGUAAGUUCCUGUUCAUAAGCAUAUUUCAGUGUCGAGUGUAUGUCUAUUGUGUGUGUUAGCACGCUUGUUGUUUGGUAUAUUAACCAUAGGUGUUGGAAAAUCCCCUUUUGUUAUAAACCACACGGUGCACUGCUAUUCAAUUUGAAGCUCCUACAUACUUCUUUAUUUUAUAAGUCAGGGAUGGACUGAUUUCUGAUUCUUAAAGUGGAACUCCCACUUCUCAGGAUUUUUACUAUUAUGCUUUCUUAUGACUAUAUUUAACACAUAUGUAUUUAGAAGGUGUGAAAUAUAAUAUUAAAUGUAGAAAUUCACACCUUUUUUAUCUUACAACUGUACGCCUCCAUCUUUUAAUCAUUGUUAUAAGCUCUGUCCUUUGUACCUGGCAGUCAAUAUAGAAAAAAAAUUAACUGGACACAUCAUUGAAAGCUGACUGAGGAAGCCACUAUUGGCGAAACGCGUAUUGGCUUACUAUUUACCACUUAUAUUUUAUUCUUCUAUAUUUUAUUAAUAUUUUAUGUAUAUUUUUUAUAAUAAAGUAGUUUUUUUUUUUGCUACCCCAUCCUCUGGAUCCUCUUCUAUUUAUUGGAGACCAUACCAGCCACAGAAGGGUUAAGGAUCACCCUACAAUAGAUCCAGAAGCCAUCUAUACCAGAGCCAGGUCCCUUGGCUCUGAUUUUGUGAGUGUUUCCUUGCACCUAUUGCACUUUAAUAUAUAUUGUAAACGAUCUACACUAUUUUGUAUAUCUCUCUAUCUCCACAGCAAUAUAUUGGAGAAGAGGAGAGAACUAAUAUUGCUCCAUCCACUGUGUUUGUAUUGUAUGUACUUUUUUGUGUUGGUAUAGGGGAUACCACACGGGUGUUUGAGCUAUUGCAGUCACCUACCGUGCCAUUUGCUGUAUUUGUGAUAAAUAUAGAAAAAGAAUACAGAGAAAAUGUUCUACGUCUCCUCUUUAUUUGCAAUGUUUGUCCUGACUUUGCCAUUUUUGAACUGGAUUAUGAUGUGAUUUGCUAAAUCUUUAAUAUAAAUUUAAAAGCAAAUGGAUCAUUUAAUAAAAAAUUUUAAAAAGUUAAAGGUGUUUUUUUUCAAUGUUUUGUUCAAUUAAGAGACAGUUCCCACUUAAGCUAAUUAUUUUAUUGUAAUUGCCUUCUAAAAAUAGACAAUUUGUUUUUAUUUCCUUAUUUAUUAACAAGAUCAGCUGUUUAAAGUUUAAAGUCCAACAGUUCAAGCCUUGAUCGCCCAAUAAUUCCACAUGCAAAUCAGUAAAAUAAGCAAGCUGAAAAGUUUAUUUGGAAACAAUGUUCCAUCUUUUCCAAGUGUAAUUUAAGUCUUAGAACAAGCACAGCUCACUAUCAGGCCUGGUAAAGCUCAUGCCAUCAUCAAUAAUUAUUUGGGAUCAAAAAAGAAAGGAGGAUUUCACGAUAAACAACGUGAAUAAGAUAAGAGAAGGGAAAAAAAUGAUUUAGUAAUAGGCAAGGGAAAAGAGAUAGAUGAAGUUGGCCUCUUUCCGGAGAGAUUUUCCAUCAUCGAUCAAAGAAAGGUAAAAACUUUGAGUAUUGACUUUAAACUCUUCACACUUUGACAGCUGCUAGCAUUAACCUCUGAUACAAAUGGAGGUCGAAGUAAGAUUAGCAUUAUUGACAAGUACUGAACACUAUUAAAUUAUGGCUGGAUAAAUAAAUGAUAUUAGAAGUACUUAGUCUAUGCAGUACGAGUGAUAAAUCUAUUGUAUAGUGUAGCAGGGAGAUCCAGUCCCCAUAAGUUUGGCAUACUAAAAGCUCUCUGCAAUAGGUUUGGCGCCAUAAUAUAGGUAUGAUAGAUAUUAAAUGGAUUUUUUAAUCAUAAUGUACAAAAUAAAACCGUGCCAAAUAAGGGAACAUGUCUCGUAAUACAGGUGCUUGAUUAAAAAUGCACCUUUGUAAAGGGAAAAAUAUACUUAUGUGUUAUUUAUCAAAGUCUUAAAGAUGCACGUCUGAGACGAAUGAAAUGUAAACAGUCCCAUAACAAUAGCACAGAACAGUCCACUUAAAGGCAUUGUUUUCCAUUUCCUCUAAUAGUUCUAGUGUUGUUCUAAAACACUAGUUAAUCUCUAUAUGACCAAAGAUAUACGAGUUAUUGAUUUCAAACUCUGGUGGUGCUCUUUUCUAGAUUCCUUCAUUUGUCAAGCUUAAUUUUACACUUAUAGUUGUAAACGAUACUGCUUAUAAUAUAUGAAGUGCUUAAUGAAAAGAAAAAAAAAUAGUAGAAAACUAAGCAUAUAUUAUUAAUACAACAUCUAACUGGAAUCAGGAUAAGUUUCCGGAAAAAAAGUAAAGAUGUUUUGGGGAGCAAUUGAGUAUAAGUAAAAGGUAUUUUUGGUGUUUUUAGGCAGGUUUUAUAAAAAGAAAGAAUAAACAUUUAUUUAAACAGUAAGUUAUUACAUGCAUAUGUAACAUUGCUAAAAUACCAGGCUAGACCUUUGGGGGAUGUUUAUCAGGGCAAAACAAGUGGCAUUUUGGGUACAAAGAGCUUAAUGUACUUUGCCCGAGAAUAUUGCCUGUUUGUCCUUGAUAAAUCUCCCUAUAAGUGGUCUAAAUCAGUGGAGCCUGAAUCAGACCCAUGUCACCUUGUCAAAUAUUUACUGAAGAUGGGAUUUUGGCUUUGUGUACCAUAGAUAGCAGGGCAGUGAUGGCUAAUUGUGGAGCCCCAUUCCCAUUAUCCUCAGUCAUCCAGAAAUAUCUCAGGUGCCAAGUUUAGCAAUUACUGCUCUGUCGGUACGUUCUAAGAUUUUUUUUUUUUUUUUUUUUUUUUAAAAACCCUACCUCAUAAUUAAGAUGAAAUCCUGCACACAAUUGUAUUUCCUCUACCACAACUCUAACAAUCAAUAUAUUACUGAAGCAUUUUCCAGGUUUAUUAUCUGAGAGUUUCAGACACAAAAGGUAUGUAGGCAAUAAACCUGUCAGUGCACUUUUUUAUAACUAGGAAUGAGAGACUACAUGCCAUGAAAUAAAAUGUGUAAGGCACUUUAUAAAAGAAUGAGAAAUGUGUUUUUAUACAGUACUUAAUAAUGUAAAAGAGAAAUGCUAUGACUUGGAAAUAUUUUUAUUUUUUUUUACCCUGGAUUUGUUCAUCUAAAUAUUACAUAUUAAACAUGUAUUAGAUUAAUCUGCUGUAUGUUUUUGCCUUAUAUGCAAACAGGAUUAAAAUGCAGGUGCUGGAAGAGUUGUGUUUAAAUAACUCAUUAGAUAGACUGCCUGACUUCCUGCUCACCUGCACUAUGCAUCCUUCUUCUAGUGACAUACAAUUGGGAUAAGUGGAACACUUACUGUAAUGAUGAUUGUAACCUGCAAGCUACCCCAGCUGUGUGAACUGGCAUUGAAAAUAAAAAAAUAUAUUCCCAGUGACAGCCUUAACCCUCUCUCUGCUUUGAAGGAAAAAAUGCAUGCAAGUAAACUUAAUGUAUGCUUAGUGCUGUACAACAUGUGAUAAAAAAAAAAUAUAAAGGCUAUUUUAUGUCAUUCUGUUGAUAGUGGGGUUUUUUAAUUACCAAACAUGCAGGGUGUUUAAUAGCAAUGGGGAGGAGAGGUGUAAAGAGUUCUGCAGAGAUCAAAAAGUAUAAAAAUCUACACUAUUUUGGUCAUUUUCUUGGACAGGUGGUAGUUAAGAAUAUUUUAAGUUAGGGAACCAGAUAAGACUAAUGGCAUAUAAUUGUUUCUUCUUUUGUUAAUAAUUACUACACUUUAUUUUGUUUUCAGUUUUAUAUUUUGUAGUAUGAGAAAUUUUCACAAAAAAAAUAAAGAACUCACCAUCUGACUAAAACUAAAAUACACAAUAAAAUAAUGAAAUUUAUUUUUUUAGCAAUUUUAUUAAACAUCUCUCAGUAAACCAUGUUAUAUAAACAAUUAGUGUAUGUCUAACCCUUUUAAAUUAGCAAUAUAGGGGACUAUAGUACCUAAUCUUUUACGUAUUAUAUGUAGAAUAAAGUCUAAAUAUUUACUGGGCUCCGAUAUCGGUCUCUCAAAAUGAUGUAAGCUACAAGUAGAUAAGUAUACUAUAUUUAAAAGAAGAAAAACUAUAACAACAAGAGGACAUAGUCUUAAAUUAGAGGGGCAAAGGUUUAAAAAUAAUAUCAGGAAGUAUUACUUUACUGAGAGGGUAGUGGAUGCAUGGAAUAGUCUUCCAGCUGAAGUGGUAGAGGUUAACACAGUAAAGGAGUUUAAUCAUGCAUGGGAUAGACAUAAGGCUAUCCUAACUAUAAGAUAAGGCCAGGGACUAAUGAAAGUAUUUAGAAAAUUGGGCAGACUAGAUGGGUCGAAUAGUUCUUAUCUGCUGUCACAUUCUAUGUUUCUAUGUUUCUAUGUUUCUAGAUUUAAGUCAUUUGCCAGAUGUUGCUGCUACUUUUAAGUGAAUAAAAAGAUGUUCAAGGUUCUGCUCAACACCUGUUUUCAUUGUAUGCAAAGUUCUGAGGACUAGUGCAAUAGUUCUGUCUUGUGUUCAUUAUAAUUGGAUGUUGAGUGUGGUUUUAGUGUUGUCUAACAUGUUGAUGAGUUUGUUUUUCAUAUUUCGUUGUUUUCAUUUUUUUCUUUGCUGUUUACGGAAAUGAGUAAGCCAAUCCUAAGCAUAAUACCAGCAUUUGUCUGAGUAUGGUUAUAGAAAUUCUUUUUUUUUUUUUAAGUGAAAUGCAUGUGAUAAAAAGAUUGCAGAAUAACAAUCAAAAUAUCCAGACAAUGAAAAAUAUACUGCUUUCAUAUAAGUGUAAGAUGUCCAAAAGGUACUUUUGACACAAGUCGUCACUUUGCACUUUUUACCUUCUCAUACAAACAGAAAGCAAACGUGCUUUUAAAUAUUUGGUUUUACCGAGACUUACUAUUAACAUAUAAUUUUAAGGAUGUGUGCAAAUGUUGGUGUGAAUAUACUAUAAAGGAUUAAUUAUGUUUCUGAAGAUCACUUGUAUCUUAAAAUGUCAAAAGGAAAUGCAUGAGUAAAGAACAGUUGUUUGACAAUCAUUUGAUUAAUUAAAACAGCUUUUUACCACGUAUAAGGAAUUAUCACUUAAAAAAAAUAAAAAUAAAAUGUGAGGCCAUCAAUUCAUCAAUGUGUAAUGUAUUUGAGAAGUUAGUAACCAAACCGGAAAUAUCCUAAAGAUCAAUUUAUUAUCGACCCGAAAAACAAAGUAGACUUGUAUUAUUCUUAUUAAUGUCUUGUCCUGGGUAUUGAAGAGAUUAAAUAAUUGCCCUAUUCCCGACAAUAGGAUUCCAGGCCAAAUGUUAAAAAAGCGUAAGAUGCAAAGUUAUAAAACUACGGCCAAGCCUUUAUAAAUUCCAUAAGUGAACAUUAUCUUAUCCAGCUGCUGGUACUAAGCUGAGGUUAUGCAAAAGCCAUUAUAUAAUGACCUCUAAAAUGCAGAGUAUGUUAAGAGUGUUUAGACAUGGGCUGAAAGUGCCACAUACUUCCAUUACCACAUUGUUGCACAUGCUAAAUAUUCAUUAAUCUAAAUGCCACAAGAGUAAUUUAACUAGCAGUGCCACCUACUCACUUCAAAAGGGCAUUGCACGAAGACCAUUUUGUUUUGCUCUUAGAAAAUAUAUUUUCUUAGGAUCUGUUUAUUGAACUUAACCAAGCAAGCAUUUUUGAAGAAGGAGAGUUUGCAGCGAGCUGAUCCCUAAAUGUAUAACGUGAAAAUGCCCAAGAUAUAUAAAUACCAACUUUUUUUCUAAAAGAAAAGUUCAAAUUCUUCACAUCAGGACAAAGUCCAUGUUUCAAAAAAAUGAAUUCAGAAAAAUAUACUAGAAACUGAUAUUAUUCUUCCAUUUUGAUAUUUAGGUUCAUAAAUUCAGUUUUCAGCUGGUAAAUAUUUUCACAUUUUGGGAAUUCACAUAGUAUCUCCUAAAGGGGCACAUUAAUUUAAAAUUGGAAAAAUGCCUUUAUAUUUCUCUAUUAUUCUUUGUAGUCCUAUAGGGGACUCUUACAUGCGCUUCAUAUAGUUUUGACAUACAAUAAUAGACCAUAUAUAAACUGGGGGAAAAAUCUAGAAUGAGUCAAAGCUGUCUUUGUAGGACACUGUGAAUAUUCUGGAUACAAUGGUGCAGUGCAACAAGGUGCAAAGAUGUAAAAAGGGCAGAGUCACCAUCAUUGCACCCUGUUCAACUGGUUUCCAUGGUGAUUGCCACACUUUUUCUACUUUAUAUCAUACUCUACAUAACAUGUUUUUUGCAUAACCCCUGAUAUUUCAGAGUUGCUGAGCAUAGAUCUAUUUUCAUGAAUAUGAAACUUUUAUUAUUUUUUAUUACCUGUGUUUGAGAUGGACUUGUGUGGAAGUAGUGGAGAGUUGUAUGUAGUACUCCUUUUUUACACCCCCUUUACAUCCCAAUAAUGCGACAUGAGACAUAGUUGGUGAAAAUAGGCCACAACAAUUUUUAAUUAAAAUAUUUUGCCAAACGAUAUUACCAAUACUUUGUAUCAAAUAUAUAUAAUCUUUAAUAAUUUGAACAUCAAACAAUAUAACUUAACAAUACAACUUAACAAGGUUCCAUAAACAUCCGUCCUUGCCAACCAAUUAUCCGUAACCUUGGAACUCAUCUGGGCACUUGCCCUCCCCCUUGUCCCAACCAACACUGGCCACAAAACCUGGCCUUCCACCAACACCAUGCUAACCAGUAGCUGACCAUUGGCUCAGUGGGCACGUCCUCAAUAAACCAUACCUUAACUUCAUCGAAGCUAAGGGAGGGAUCAGCCCCACUUUCCUUCACUCACAUUGGACCCCCCAGUCCAACCCACGUUUGGCAAGGACAACCACCCACCACAAGACCCCGCUGUUUUACCCGCUAAAAUAAGUGGGGGUGACCACCCAUAAAAGCCAUGGCUUGUUCCAAGCCUUCUUGCAACGCCAAGUUAAAAAAAUCCAAACCCACAUCAGUAAAGUGAACCCCAACACCCCUAAAGUACAUAGCUGUUUCCCGUUCAAACACGCAAUGCCGCUCACAUUGCUUGAAACCAAACUCUAUUAAGUAGACUCUUUCAAGAAGGAGUUAGAAAACCAGGAGUUCAUUGGAGAGUGCUUUGUAUACUGUGGAGAGUGAUUUGUAUUUUAUUUUUGUUUAAUUUGAUUUAUUAGCUAAGGUUUUUUAAAAAGUUUUUAUUUUAAAGUUUUUCCCCCUCCUUUGUGCUGCUGCUUGAUUAAUUGGGGGGAGUGUUCAUUAAUUUCCACCUGUAUGGGAUUUGUAUUCCCAUAUAAGCACACCCCUAACUCACUGAGCUUGCACACAUUGCUUGAAAAGCAAAAAAAGGGAAAUCAGCUAUUGGUUGGGAUAUGUUAUAAACCACCUAAUGUUAAUAGUAAUGAGGAACAACAGCUGUUUGAGCAAAUUGAGAAUACUGCAAAUCUGGGUAACACAUUAAUAAUUGGAGAUUUUACCCGGACAUAAAUUGGGACAGAGGGACCAAUAGCUCAGCAAAGGGAAUUAGGUUUUUGAACUUGUUAAAUGACACCUUCAUGUCACAUCUUGUACAAGCACCAACUAGAAAGAAUGCUUGUUUGGACAUGGUUCUAACAAACAACGGUGAUCUUUUGACCAACAUUCAAGUAGGUGAGCACUUGGGAAAUAGUGAUCACAAUAUAGUGUCCUUUGAAAUAAACUCAAAAAAACAAAAGCACACGGGGUAUACUAAAACAUAUCAUUUUAAAAAGGCCAAUUUCUAUAAGUUAAGGGCAGCUUUGCAAUAUAUUGACUGGCAUAAACUAUUUAGUGAAAAGAACACUGAGGAUAAAUGGAACAUCUUAUCAAUAUUAGAAAGGUACAUUUCUCAGUAUGUACUAUUGGGUAAUAAAUAUAAAAGAAACAAAUUUAAACCAAUGUGGCUUAGUAGAGAAGUAAAACAAGAGAUUAAAAAUAAGAAAAUGGCAUUUAAAGCAUUUAAAUUAGACAAAUCAAAUGUAUCCUAUAAAAGAUAUAAGGAAGCCAAUAAUCAAUGCAAAAAGGCGAUUAAAUUCGCUAAACUUAAAAAUUAAAAAAUUAUAGCCAAAGAGUGCAAAACCAACCCCAAAGCAUUUGUGAUGGACCCUCCGUCAAUCGAUGCUCCUAGUGCUUACCAAGGACCAUCAGCACCGCACUAGACACCAUCAGCACUGCAGAUCCCAUGAACCGCCACAGCUUGGCUGGUAACUCUACCCACCCUGAACCUACGACAAGGCUCCAGGUUCCAGUGGGUGAACCUCUCCUCCAAGAGAGAGUAGCAGGAACAAGCUCUUAAAAGAGCUUAGUGAUUCUAGCCCAGGGGAGUAUACAGAGUAUAGCAAUCCCCCAUUGUAGAUGCAGCCUUUUCCCCCACACAUGAGACGAGGCUCUAUGUUGAGGGUAAAACAGGAACUCAGCAGAUCUGAGGGUUUAUUGUCUUUUAUACAGUUUUGGCCACAAAGCUACCACCCAGGUGGACCUUGAGGAGCACAAGACCCUUUUUAGUUUAGUAAAACAUCGCCUGAGAGGUGAUAUGAUAACAUUCGGGGCCAAUACAAACCAUUGUGUGGAAAUCUAUUCAGAAACCGAACUUUACAUAGGACACAAGGUCAUGCGUUUAGACUGGAAAAAAGAUGAUUUUGUCUAAGGCAAAGAAAAGGUUUUUUUACUGUAAGAACAAUAAGGAUGUGGAAUUAUCUGCCUGAAGAAUUGGUCUUAUCAGAGUUCAAAGAGAAUUAGAUGCAUAUUUGCAAAAACAGAAUAAUCAAGGAUAUAUUUUUCAAUGUAGGGUAAUAGCUGCUUGAUCCAAUGAUAAAUUUUUUCCUAGUUUGUUGCAAAAUUGGAAGUGCUUCAAACUGUUUUUUUUUUGCCUUCUUUUGGAUCAACAGCAAAAAACAAAUGUGAGGAAGGCUGAACUUGAUGGAUGCAAGUCUCUUUUCAGCUAUGUAACUACGUAACUAUGUAAAACCCCCAACUCCCAACACAAACGUAGAAACCCGUCUAUUGAGCUUUACCCGACACCGAUCCAUGGCCAAAUGAUCCCUAUCAAACCUCCAAUAAUUAUUGGACACAAGCUCAGAUCACACCAGACAGAUGUUGAGAAACAGCACAUAAAUACUGGCACAGAUCGUAGCCCCCAAGAUGAACGAUCAGGAACUCCCAAGAGAUGGGACAAGCGGUCCAGCUUCGGAACCAGCUGCACCCACCACAUACCACAGACACCAAACCAUCGCACUUCUGCCAUUGGCGGGGACAGAACCAGUUGACAUAACCCGGGGUGGACCAUGUUCCUCUGCUGGGCCCAGUAGAUGUACGAGUGCCCAAUCACCCACACACGCCAGGAUUUGGAGACACAACAGGGGAAAUUGCAAUCAGACCACAGGGCCAAACGUAUGAAAACAUGUCGGCGGGUAGACCACCCACCCUGAGAUGCCCUGUAAAACGACACAUGCUGCAAGUCCCAGCACAUCCGUCUUAGAACAGCGGAUCAAAAAAUGAAUUGAUGCAGCCUCGCAGUAAACAUCCUGAUACCAAACACCCCCUGGAACCCGGUUAGAUGGGCUAACCAACUCCCAAAUCUGAAGCACCCCAAAAAAGGCAAGAGAAAAAGUGAGCCGAAAGAGCACCACCUCACAACUGGAAAAGCAAAAGAAUAAAAAACAGACCCAAAAGCAAGGCCCCGGACACGGGCCUGUGCGAAAUUGGGGCCCUAUGGGCUCUCCUCAAACCCUCUCAUUGCCCACACGACCAUCACGUCCUUAGUGACAUCCGGAACCCUGAACAAUUUGACCCAAAAACUGAUUGUUUAGCCUUGACCAAAGCCGGCAAGCACCCAGAAGCUCCCCAAAACCAGAGGAGCUGAAGCAACUGAAAACGGAAACCCACGACAGCCAACCAAUCCCCCAAAGCCUUACCAUAAUGGGAUCAAGUAGCCUCAGAGACUGAUGCCCAAAUCCAAACUGCUACAUGGUCUGCCCAAGGGACCACAGUUCUGUCGGGCAGGGGAACCCAUCUGCUUCUUGGGUGUGGCUACACGAAAUUCCUGCCACUGCAAAUGAGAGAAGGAAUCCGCUGUAACCUUUUUGACCCCAGGAAUGUGAAUCACCCUGCAAACAAUAUUCAGCAACAAACAGCACAACACAAGUCGAUGCAGCAGCCGAACCACCGAGGGGGAAAAAAGCUAGAACCACCCCCAGAUUAUCACAAUGGAAAGCAACCCUGCAGUCCUGCAGCAACGAUCCCCACAGCUGAUUGUUUAGCCUUGACCAAAGCCGGCAAGCACCCAGAAGCUCCCCAAAACCAGAGGAGCUGAAGCAACUGAAAACGGAAACCCACGACAGCCAACCAAUCCCCCAAAGCCUUACCAUAAUGGGAUCAAGUAGCCUCAGAGACUGAUGCCCAAAUCCAAACUGCUACAUGGUCUGCCCAAGGGACCACAGUUCUGUCAGGCAGGGGAACCCAUCUGCUUCUUGGGUGUGGCUACACGAAAUUCCUGCCACUGCAAAUGAGAGAAGGAAUCCGCUGUAACCUUUUUGACCCCAGGAAUGUGAAUCACCCUGCAAGCAAUAUUCAGCAACAAACAGCACAACACAAGUCGAUGCAGCAGCCGAACCACCGAGGGGGAAAAAAGCUAGAACCACCCCCAGAUUAUCACAAUGGAAAGCAACCCUGCAGUCCUGCAACAACGAUCCCCACAGCUCCAAGGCCACCACUAUUUGGAACAAUUCGAAAAACGCAAGAUUCUUUGUGAGGCCCAACACGUGCCAGGCAUCCGGCCAUGUAUCCGCACAGUGGGUGCCCAAUACAGCUCCAAGUUCUACCGAUCCUGUCACGUCAGUGAGCAAGUGCAGUUCGGCAUUGGAUACUUCUGGCACCUGCCAAUAGGACUGCCCGUUAAAAGCCACCAGAACGGCAUCUCAGACUGCCAGAUCCUAUUUUAAGGGGAGUGUCAAAUGCCCAAAAUGUCGAGGCCUGGGCAGGAUGUGACAUGCAAUCUUAAACUUUCUUAACAGUGCCUGCAGCUGGUGCAGCGGAAUCUUCCUCAUGCCCAAUGCCGCUGCCACCCGAGCGUGCAAAUCCUCCACCUUAUCCGCCGGGAGACAACAUUCCCACCAAGUCAAGUUUGAUGUCAAGAAAGUUCAAGCAAGUAGUUGGGUCCACAGUCUUGUCCGGGGCCAACGGCACCCCGAAUGACUCUGCCACCAACUGCACCGAAAACAGCAGCCGCAUGCACCUCCCUGAAAUCCCUGGACCUAUGUACAAAGAUAUCAUCCAAAAAAUGCAGAACGAAGUCACAGCCUGACUCCAUACGCACUACCCAUUCGAAGAAGGAACUAAAACACUCAAAAGAGAAUUAAAAAAUUGAACAACCCAUCGGAAGAAACACGUCAAGAAAGAAUUGACCAAUAAAGCAGCACCCCAAGAGAUGAUGGCACUCUGGAUGUACCUGAAGCAACCAAAAUGUGGCUUCAAUGUCUGAGUGCCCCAGGACAAGUAGGUGAUGUCAUCAUUCGCUGAGCCCCAGAAGGGGUACGAGAAAUGGUGAAUCAGUUGUAACUUACCCGCUUCUUUUUUGGGGACCACCCCAAGAGGGGAGACCCGGAGGUGCGGAAAUGGAGGCACCCAAAAGGGGCCGCCGUACGCCCCAACAACACUUCCUUCAUUAGCUUCAAAGUAGGUAAAGGUUAUUGCCUAAAGAAACAUGUAUGAAAAACAAUAUGUUCCAUUUCUAACACCUUGUCAGUUUGCAAUAUCUCUUAAAGACAAAGUACACAAUUUGAGAAAUACAAUAUUAGCAUUUGCCCAUAACAACGCCCUCCAAAUUGUUUCCUGGUAGUAGAAGAGGGACGAGCACUUGGCAGGAGCCUUCUCCCCUAUGACACUGGCCAGGAUAGAAAAGGUCCGAAUCCAGUUACCAAACGUUUUUGGAAUUUUCAGAAAGCUUUCUCUGAUUUGUUAGCAUCCUUGUCCGGGGGAAGGUAAGUCCUCUAACAGGAGCAGCCCCAACCUAUCACUCUUUCGUUUACUGAUUUAAAUUCCAAAUGAAAUGUAUAGAAACUGAUAUUUAAGUUAAUCUGAUAUUGGAGAAGCCUAAGCAGAGGGAGAACAGAAUAUGUUUAAAAUAAAUAUGACAUUAUAUGAAUAUCAUGUAUGUAAGGAGGAGUGUCUGAACUAUUUACCUGAAGUAUAAAAGUCACAGAAUGGAAAUAUAAUGCACGCAUAAUAGUUACACACAGAAGUCACUGGAACACUGACAGACAGACUCUUACUCAUUUGACACUUACUGACUCACACACACCUACUAAAAGACACACACACUCACUGACAGACACACACACAAUUGCACUCAGAGGACACUGACACAUAUGGUUACAUACAGGGGACAAUGACACAUUUACACACAGAAGACACUGACACACGGACAAUUAACACACAGAUGACACUGACACACACAUUUACACACAGAGGAAAUGUAUACACAAACGUACACACAAAGGACACUGACACACAUAUAUUCAUUGAUAGAGACACACACUCACUGACCGGUACACUCACUGAUUUAAAACUCACUGACAGACAAACCCAUUAACACACAGUCUCACUGAUUUGACACACAAUGACAAACACAUGCACUGACACAUGCCCUCACUGACUUGACACAUGCAUUCACUUGCAGACACACAUUCACUGACAGACACACUCACUGGCACACACUCUCAGUGAUUGGACAUACACAUUUACUGGCAGACACAUACACAUUCUUAAAUUGUUUAUUUUUUUAUUUGAGUCUAUCCAGCCGCCCUAGUUUUGGCAGAGAUAGAGUGGAUCCUUUCCCUGGGACCCAGUGGACAUCAUUUCCCUGGGGUCAAGUGUGAGGCUUGUGUAAUAUUUGUGCUCUUUGAGAUCUACUCCUUUGUGCGCUGUUUAAUGAUGCUGGAGUGAUGUCACAACUUGGCUCCUGGCAUCACCACAGGAGGGAGCAGUGCUGGAAGAUAAUGAAGAUUACAGCUCCAUCGUUGACACUGCUCCAGUCUCUCACUGGACACUUUAUUUGGGCAGGGUAGGCACCGACUGUCUGGGUAACUAGGUGCAUAGGCGUGCGCAGCCUAUUGCAAUAGGGUGUGCACCCUAAAGCACAAACACAUGCCGCGUGUGUGUGUGUGUAUGUAUCUAUAUAUAUAUAUAUAUAUAUAUAUAUAUAUAUAGAUACAUACACACACACACACAGUGUGCUGUGUGCUGUUAGUGUGAUGUGUGUGUGAGGGUGCUGUUACUGUGAUGUGAGGGUGUUUGUGUGUGUGUGUUUGUGACUGUGCUGUUUGUGUGUGAGGGUGUUUGUGUGUGUAUGUUUGUCCUGUGAGGGUGCUGUUUGUGUGAGUGUCGUGUAUUUGUGAGGGUGCUGUUAGUGUGCUGUGUGUGAGGGUGUUGUGUUUUAAAGGUGCUGUGUGUGUUUGGGAGGGUGCGGUUAGUGUACUGUGUGUGUGUGAGCCGUAUGUGUGUAGGUGCUGUAUGUGUGUGUGCUGUAUGUUUGGAGGGAUUUGGCAGAUUAGUAAAUCCUUGCUGCCAUGUGCCAUCCCUGGUAGUCCAGAGGAGAGCGAACUCUAGCCUGCGGGGCUAGAGUUAACUCUUGCGAGAUCUGAGCGUUGCUGCAGCAACACUCAGAUAUCGCGAGAGGAACCUGGCAGAGCUUCUGUCUAGAGCUCCCUGGGUCCUCUCCUGCCUCCCUCCAUGCUGCUGUGGGCCGGUGAGCUAGAUCUUUGAUCUCCCCGCCGGCCCAUGGAGGCUUAGAGCAGAGCCGGCACUCAGAUAGCGCCGGCUCUGCAUGUGUGUGUGUGUGUAUAUAUAUAUAUAUAUAUAUAUAUAUAUAUGCGUACACACACACUCACAGACACAUUCAGACACACACAUACAUACACUCACAGACACACACACAUUCACAGACACACACUCACACAGACACACACACUCACACAGACACACACAUACACAGACACACUCACACACACACACAUACACUCACAGACACACUCACACACACACAUACACUCACAGACACACAUUCACAGACACACUCACACACACAGACACACUCACACACACAGACACACUUACACACACACUCACACAGACAAACACAAACACUCACACACAGACACACUCACACACAGACACACACUCACACACACACAUACACUCACAGACACACAUUCACAGACACACACUCACACACUCACACACACACACACACAGACACACUCACACACAGACACACACACACUCAAACACAGACACUCACACACAGACACACACACACAGACACACACAGACUCACACACACACACACAAGAACAAAUUAUUAUAUUUUAAUUAAAAAAAAUGUCCACCCAGCCUCCUACCUGGAGUGCUGGUGUGGACUUGUCCCUGGGGUCCAGUGGGGCGGGCGCCUCUCUCCAGCUCAGCCACGGCGAGGGAGUUGUCUGCUCUCUGCUCCCUCUCGCCGCGAGGGCUGUCUACAGUAGCUGGGAGCCGGAAUAUGACGUCAUAUUCCUGCUCCCGGCUUCAGCGCGCGGCGAGCUGGAGGGGGGGAUCCAUCACCUCUUGCCCCCCCAUAACAGGGGCAAGAGGUGAGACAGGGGGAGUUGAGUGCCUGCAGGAACAGCGUUGUUCCUGCCGGACUCAAACCAUAGGCAUUCCAUGGGGAUUAGGGUGUGCCCAGGCACACCCGGCACACCCCGUGCACACGCCUAUGACUAGGUGUCUGCUUUGCCUUAAAGCAAAGCCAACCCCCUCAGUGGGUUGCUAAGGUGCCCAGCCAACCAGCUCUUGGAGUACACCUUACUUUUUGUGAGCGUACCCACUGGUUGAGAAACAAGGGUUUAGAGCAUUCAAGUCUACACCAUGAUGUUUCUUACCUCAUGGUCAAGAGAAACACAAAAACUGAAAGAAAUAAUGAGAAACUUCCACAUUACCGCAUGUUUAUCAAAUGAAACAUAGAGCCUGGUAGAAACUAACAUGGUGAACCUCAAACUUAACCCCUUAAGGACACAUGACAGAAAUAUUCCGUCAUGAUUCCCUUUUAUUUCUGAAGUUGUGUCAUUAAGGGGUUAAAUAAACAAAAAUAUAUUUGACAGACAGAUAUUAAUUAUAUAUCAUUAUGUUUUUAAGGGGAACUGUAAUCCCAGAACUUUGAAUAUGAAAUUUACGUAUAUCCAUAUCAAACAAAGUAUGUGAGUGGUGUGAAAAAUAAAAUGAAAUAUAAAAAUUCACUCCUCUUUAUCCUGCAACUAGUGUUUUCAUCUUAGCUCCCCUUUAAUUAUUGCCAUAAGUGCUGGCAGACAGUACAGAAAAAGACUAUGGAUAAAUUAUACAAUGUAUGCUUAUUAUUAUAAUAAUCUUAUUAUUUAUAUAGCACCAAAAAAUUCUGCAGUGCUUUACAAUGGGUGGAGGAACAGACAUGUAGUUGUAAUCAGACAAGUUAGACACACAGGAACAGAGGGGUUGAGGGCCCUGCUCAGUGAGCUUACAUUCUAGAGGGAGUGGGGUAAAAUGACACAAAAAGGUAAGGAUAGUAUUAGACUAGUGACAGUUGCAAGAGAGGAAUCAGUCAGGAGCUAUUAACAGUUUAAUUGAUACGCUUUUAUAAAGAAGUGGGUUUUUAAUGAUUUUUUGAAGUAGUGGAGACUGGGUGAGCAUCUAAUGGAAGAGGGAAGCAAGUUCCACAGGAACGGUGCAGCCCUCGAGAAGUCUUGAAGGCUUCUAUUUCUAUUUUUUUAUUUGUAAUAUUUGCUCUUGCUUUGCCUUGUCUGCACUGGAUUAUGAUGUAACUGCUAAAUCUUUAAACAUGAAUUUAAAAGAAAAUGAAGCAUUAAAUGAAAAAAAGGUUAACAAUUUUUUUUCAAUGGUGUAAAUUUCCGAUAAGUGAUAGCUUCCCUUCAAGCAGAGUUAUAAAUAUUAAGGGAUGUAGUGCACACACUUUCAGUGCCUUUUUGACUUUGAAAGUGUGUGCGACAUUACUAAUAACAAAAAAGUAUUAAUUGAUUGGCAUAACUAAUAACAGCUCAAUACAGAACCAGGUUACUGAAGAUGAGAUUGAUUACUGUAACGGAGCUUCUUGUACCCCGGUUGGGUACCUCCGCCGACGGAUGCUCCUAGUGCUAGACUUUAAAUCUAGAACAAAGAGACUUCCUGUCUGACAAAAAAAAACUACAGUAUAUAAAACAGAAUGAGCCCAUGCAUAAAAUAAAGACACUUUCAGAUGAAAUAAAUUCCUUUAAUGGGACAUCUGACUGAACCCUCGAUCUUUAGACAUAGACGAGUUACUGUACAUCUGAAAUGACUUGCAUGGAACUCAGAUAACCCACAUGUAAGACAAACAGUGGCGUACUAAGGGGGGUGGAGGGGGUGGUCCGCCCCGGGUUCCACUGGGUGGGGGGUGCCAUGACCCUGGUCUGGGUGCUGAAGGGGGAUUUGUGAGCUGUAUGGCCGCACAGUUCCCCAUGGUAGUUAGGGUGCCGUGCAGCCAGAACAGCUCACAUACGCAAGGAGCAGCUGAAUUGGCCGCACAGAGGAAAAGUGGGGGUGGAGCUAAGCAAAAUUGGGGGCGCAGCCGAACCAACAGCAAGGGCGAGGCUUACCUUACCCGCUGCUGUUUGGAGGUGCAGCAAGAUGGAAUCUGCUUUUCCACAGGCUUCAGAGAAGGACUUCAGGGAAUCCAGUCCUCCUCCAGCCCACUGUCUGUAAGUAAGAGUGUGUGUGUGUGUCUGUGUGUGUGUGUGUGUGUGUGUGUGUGUGUGAGACUGUCUGUGUGUAACUGUCUGCCAGUAACUGUGUGUGUGUGUGUGUGUGUGUGUGUGUGUAUAACUGUAUGCCUGUAACUAUGUGUCUGUGUGUGUAUGUGUGUGUGUGAGAUUGUCUGCCUUUAACUGUGUGUGUAACUGUCUGCCUGUAACUUUGUGUGUGUUUAUAUGUGUGUGUGUGUGUGUGUGUGACUGUCUGCCUGUAACUGUGUGUGUGUCUGUCUGUAAGUGUGUGUGUGUGUGUAACUCUCUGCCUGUGACUGUGAGUGACUAUAUAUGUGACUGUCUGUCUGUAACUGUGUGCAUGACUGUCUGUGACUGCAUGUGUGACUGUGUGUGUGUGACUGUCUGCCUGUAACUGUGUGUGACUGUCUGCCUGUAACUGAGUGUGUGACUGUCUGCCUGUAAAUGUGUGUGUGUGUGUGUCUGUCUGUAAGUGUGUGUGUGUGUAACUCUCUGCCUGUGACUGUGAGUGACUAUAUAUGUGACUGUCUGUCUGUAACUGUGUGCGUGACUGUCUGGCUAUGACUGUGUGUAACUACCUGUAACUGACUGUGUGUAAUUGUCUGCCUGACUGUCUGCCUGUGACUGUUUGAUGUUGCCUGUAACCGUGUGUAAAUAUCUGUCUGUGACUGUGUGCAUGUGACUGUCUGUUGCUGUUGUGUGUGUGUGUCAAUGUAUAUGUGACUGUCUGCCUGUAACUGUGUGCAUGACUGUCUGUGACUGUAUGUGUGACUGUCUGCAUGUGACUGCGUGUCUGUAACUGUGUGUGUGUGUGUGUCUGCCUGUAUGUGUGUGUGUGUGUGUGUAAUUCUCUGCCUGUGACUGUGUGUGUGAGUGACUGUAUAUGUGACUGUCUGUCUGUAACUGUGUGCGUGACUGUCUGGCUAUGACUGUGUGUAACUACCUGUAACUGACUGUUUGUGUAACUGUCUGCCUAUAACUGUGUGUGUGACUGCAUGUGACUCUGUUUGUGUGACUGCCUGUGACUGUUUGAUGUUGCCUGUAACCGUGUGUGACUGUCUGUGACUGUGUGCAUGUGACUGUCUGCUGCUGUCAUGUGUGUAUGUCAAUGUAUAUGUGACUGUCUGCCUGUAACUGUGUGCAUGACUGUCUGUGACUGCAUGUGUGACUGUGUGUGUGUGACUGUCUGCCUGUAACUGAGUGUGUGACUGUCUGCCUGUAAAUGUGUGUGGGGGGUUGCAGGAAUUUUGUUGAAGGGGGCAGGGUUUUGUAUUGGGACAGGAGUCUUUAUAAGGGGGGAUAAGCAGGGGAUUUGUGGAAGGGGGUUGCGGGGGGUUUGUAGACAGGGGCAGUACAUGAUUUGCAGAAGGGGGCAGGACAGGGGUUUUGUAGGAGGGGCUGACAGCCAUUUUGCAAAGUUUACAAAUUGUAAAAAAAAAAGAAAACCUUUAACAUUUUUAACAGGUUUUUUUUUUUUUAGGGGGAGGUGGGGCUAGGGGGUGCCAAGCACAGGAUCCGCCCCGGGUGCCAAAUGCUCUAGGUACGCCCCUGAAGACAAAUACUCCCAUAUUUGAAGCUGAACCUGUAUAAGAACAGGUGCUUCUUUAUUAGUACGGAGAGACUCCUGGUGUAACAAAAACACCAUGAAUGUGGGUGAGACUUGCUGUGUGUGAGUCAAAGACACUCUAAAUUUGAAACUAUGUGACUCCCAGAGAGACAGAGAAAUGCACUAUAGUAUGUAAACAUUAAGAGAUUAACAGCAGCUGCUAGAAGAUGAUUCAAACUCUGGACUUAAUCCACAUGAGUCUGCAAAUGGAUUGGUUUAGAGUAUAAAACAGAGGGAGCUGGCUUCUAUGAAACUAGUCACAGCCUCAUCCCUUGGAAGUCCAUUUGAUACUUUAAUGACAUGCACUUUCCGUAAGAUGGACUCUGCAAUCCUACAUGAUCUGGAGAUAUAGUAAUCCAAAAUUACACCUGUUCCCAACAAGGACAUAAAAGGAACAUGAUCUCAUAGCCAGCAGGACACAUUAGUGCACCUCGGCUUAACACGUCAGUGUUUAUAGAUCUGAUUUAUCAUUCAAGAGAUAACACAUUUCAUCUCCUUAUCCAUCUUGCUGCCAUGUACAUUAUUUGUUUAUUGCCUGACAUAAUGAACCUGCAAAACAUUAAUAAUUUUUAUUAGAAGCAAAAUUAGACUGUACAAUAUUUCUCUAGGCAAAGUUUAAACCCAUAUAAUAAACCAUGCAAUGCUAGUGUCAUCAUUUUGUUAAGUAACACUGGAUACAUUCUAGAUAUAGCAUGCACUUAUUUAAAACUACUACUGUUUGCCAGGGCCAGACUGGGAAUAAAAAGCAAGGAAUAAAAAUUCUAUACCAGCCCCAUAACACAUCGCACCAGCAUAGUGUGCAGAUAUAGAGACAGAAACGAUAAUUGAAAAUUGAAAACUAAAAACUAUUACUCUAGCGUGAAAGAAAGUACUCAUAGGGCUUCAAAAAACGCCCCAAAAGAGUGAUUUUAUUUUAACCCCUUAAGAACGGAGCCAAUUGUACAAGUUGUGAUCAAGACAAAAUGUAUACAAAACCUGAAAUCUUUGUUAUAUGUCUGUUCAACUGUAAUUCACCUCUUUCAUAUUAAGGGCACACACGUAUUAUAUAUAAUUUUAUUCAGGAUAAACAAGGCUUUCAUUUAACAGCAAAUGUUUAGCUAUGAAACAUAAUUUAAUAUGAAUAAAAUAUUUUAAAAAUUGAGAAAUUAAGAAAUGUUGUUAUUUUUUUAGUUCUGCAUGGCAUUUUAACCCCUUAAGGACGGCUAUGCCAUCCUUGGGGACCCGGCUCUAAACGCCGGUGGACAGCAUAGUAUGUCCACGCCAUCCUAUGUACUUACCUGCUCGCCAGCGAUCCCACUCCGGCGAUUGCGAUGGUGGGGACUUGCCUGGCAUCCCAGGCAGUCCAGCUGCUGCUGAUCUAGCCCUCCUGGGCCAUGUGAUGGCGAGGUCCUUGCGAGGACUUCACGAUCACAUGGACGGAAUAGCCGUCCAUUGCAGUACCAGCAGGGGGAGUGCAUGAAAUGACAGUUAGUACCCCUGCUGCCUGAAAUAAAAUAUACAUACACAUACACUGUCUAAGUGUAUUUUACUAUUAAUAUAUAUAAUUAUAUAUAUAUAUAUAUAUAUAUAUAUAUAUAUAUAUAUAUAUAGAUAUCAUAUUAUCAAAACACACGUAAAAUUAUAUUAUAUAUAUAUAUCGUUUUUGUUUCUUGGAUGGAAUAAACCACAUUUGAUAUUCAGAAGUCCGUGAGUGCAGCCUGCUUUGUUUUGUGUACUAUAUAUAUAUAUAUAUAUCAUCAAAUUGAAAAUAUAGGAUGCACUCACAGGACUUGGUGAAAAAAAUGUAGUUUUAUUUAUUCAAGGUGCAAACCAAAAACCAACGUUUCGACCUCUGUGGGUCUUUUUCAAGGUUACUGUAACAAACAAAAUCAUAUCAAUAUAUACAUAAAGUAUGAGUGCACUUACCAAUCAUUUUCGUUGUGAAUCCCUGCACCGGUGCCCGGAAGUGAGAUAGGGCCGCCCCGUGACGUCAUAACGUCAUUACGUAUGGCGGAAAGCUCAGUGAUUACUAUAGAAACAGGUAAACUAUGCAAGUGAAACCCGUGUGGGUAAGGGAAAGUGAAACCGGUGUUAUGAUAGAGACAAUCGAGAUGGAAGAAAUAAAAGCAUUAGCAAAAUACAUUGGGCGAUUGAAAAGAUGCCUGCUAAACCCAAAACACCUAAAAAAAACUGUGCAAGUGCCAAUGUGUAUCUACAUUAAAAACGUGAAACAGUGACAAAUCAACUAUGUGGCAAAACAAGUGGUAUCUAGGCAUCAAAUGUAUGUAUGUUAGAAUGUUGAAAGCAACUCGUCCCACUCUUGUUAAAGACAAAUAAUAGUCAUAAAUAUUGACACUCACUAAUCUAUACAUUCAGAGCUAUCCACCUUAACAGAUAACAAAUGCAUCAUAGAUAUGCUGAAACAUAUUGCUCAACAAAAAACAAAACACAAAAGAAAGGGGGACUAUUCGCUAAAUACAUUUUAGUAAAAAAUCUAACAAUCCCAAAAAAAUCUAAUCGAAAAAUUAUAAACAUUUGGAGACAUCCUACUUAGCAGCAGAUAUUAUGUCAAAUUCAACCAAAAUGUUCUGAGACAAAUUACUAUAAACCCUAAAAAAGGGGACUAUUCACUAAACCAAAUUUUUUUUAAGAGAACAGCCAAUUUGAAAAGUAAUCAAUAAACUAAAACGGAUACUAAUUCUAGAUACUAUAUGCAUAUCAGAAUAUAAUGCUAUUAUAUGACACCACAACCAAAAUUCAAACUACCACGAUUUAAAGAAACAUGGAGUACGUAACAUGUUCAUUAAGUCCCUUAGGGGAAGCUGUGUCCAAAUAAUGGAUCCAAUAUGCUUCCCUCUGUAGCAAUAUUUUGGAUCUGUUACUGCCUCGGUACGGAGGUGGGACAUGGUCGAUCGCGAUAAAUCUCAGUGUGGGCAAUCGGUAUUGUAAAGCCAAAUAAUGUUUGGCAACUGUUUUUUCUGAGUGUUGAUCCCGGAAAGCUGUAGUUAUACCUGAGCGAUGUCCUCUUAUUCUAUCCUGGAGUGUUAAAUCUGUCUUACCCACGUAUGAUAGCCCGCAAGGGCAUGUGAUCAUGAAAUGACAUGAUCCGUCAUACAAGUGAUAUGAUGCUGAAUGGAAAUACGUUGACCAGUUUGUGGAUGGGCAAAGGAUGUACCAGUUACACAUCCUGUGCAUCUGUAGCAACCUUUUUUCUUGAUUACUUUAGCUUGUUGGUAACAGUGUACUGGAUCAUUACGGACCAGCAUAUCCCUCAAACUCCUCUUCCGUCGGUAACUAAUAACUGGUGGUUUUUGAAAAAUUGGUGAUAAAUGCUUGUCUGCCUUUAGUAUAUCCCAGUGUUUUCUAUAUAGUGUUCUUGAUCGGUGAACUAUUAGUGUGAAAGGUGAGUGGAAGAAAUAUGCAUUCUGUUGAUUGAUCACUGAUUCUUUCAUACAUUUGAUGCCUAGAUACCACUUGUUUUGCCACUUAGUUGAUUUGUCACUGAUUCACGUUUUUAAUGUAGAUACACAUUGGCACUUGCACAGUUUUUUUUAGGUGUUUUGGGUUUAGCAGGCAUCUUUUCAAUCGCCCAAUGUAUUUUGCUAAUGCUUUUAUUUCUUCCAUCUCGAUUGUCUCUAUCAUAACACCGGUUUCACUUUCCCUUACCCACACGGGUUUCACUUGCAUAGUUUACCUGUUUCUAUAGUAAUCACUGAGCUUUCCGCCAUACGUAAUGACGUUAUGACGUCACGGGCGGUCCUAUCUCACUUCCGGGCACCGGUGCAGGGAUUCACAACGAAAAUGAUUGGUAAGUGCACUCAUACUUUAUGUAUAUAUUGAUAUGAUUUUGUUUGUUACAGUAACCUUGAAAAAGACCCGCAGAGGUCGAAACGUCGGUUUUUGGUUUGCACCUUGAAUAAAUAAAACUAAAUUUUUUUCACUAAGUCCUGUGAGUGCAUCCUAUAUUUUCAAUUUGGUUAUAUAUGGAACGCAACAUGGAUGGCACCCAGGAAGGUAUUCAAUUAUAUUUUUAAGGAGAGUGCCAAGCUAUUAUUUAUUUAUAUAUAUUGGGUGAGCGUUACACCCUCUUGAGCACCCCAAUUUUUCAUUUACAAUAUACUAUUUUUUUAGUAUUUGUCCUGCCACUUUUUCAAGUUGUCUUCAGGAUGGAAGAUUUUUUGGCUAGAUCUGGAGCUCUGGCUGACACAGCAGAAACGCUGAGUGUGGCAAACAUAGCCACUUAGACUAUAUCAAGAGACUGUACUUUUAAGGGUUGCCUGUAUGUCGGUGGGGAUAUGUGUUCAACUAUGUAUAUUGUAUGCUGGCUGUAAUACCUUGAAUUGCCUGUAAUUGCUAUCUGCCAAAUGCAGAUAGCUAUUUGUAUGGGGUUUUCCUUUCGUUUCACGAACGGCACUUUGGCGGGCCGUUCGUGAACCGAAAACACUAUCCCUAAUAGCCCACACACUUAGAGGCGUGUGGCACUUGUUAACCGAUUGCAACAAUGUUGCAAUCGGUAAUUAGAGGCUCUCCUGGGUGGCCGUCGUUCGACUACCGACCAUGCGGCGGUCGGCCAUCUUGGAUCCUUUGUUCCCUCAGCGGUGUUAGGUCGUCGAGCGCAUGGUACUAAAAACGGCUACUCGACGGCACGAACACCGCUGAGCCUCCAGGACGUUCGGUAGUUCCGGGCCGCUCGGUAUUUCAUUCCCUGGAAGGCAAUCGGUCUUUUGAAUAUGUUUCUUAAUGAAUGUGUUUUUCAUGCGGCGUUCGGUUAUUUUAGCUGGGAUCUGAGCGGUAAUCUCACGAAUGAUGCGCUCAGACCCAGCUAUCUACCGAACGUCCAUUCGUGCAAAUACACUGUAUAUUCGAAAAGUUACAGAUUUUUAUAUAAUUUGUCGGUUCUGCUGCACGGAGGGAUAAUCCACUUAACAGUAUAUUCUAGGAGGAGGAUCCCUCUCGUGCAGCAGUGCCUGAUGGAGAAAUGCUUUGUACUGUAAGUUCCCCAUGUAGUCCUCUAUGGGAAUGCCCCUGGGAAGGGACUCAGGAAACCCCUUGCAUGGGGACUUGUAUAAAUUGUGCAGCAGAAUUAAAGGACUUCAGUUGACUCUCAGAACUGUGUUUCGUCCGGUUACUGGGAGGUUGGGGAUAUUGCCUUGUUGUUUCAGCGCUUGACUGUGGAUUACUUCCUGAACCAGCGGAAUUCGUGGAUUUAAUAUUGGCGUUCCGCUACACUGAGUAUUACUGACGAACAAGCUACAGCCGUACUAUGGCCUCGUACCUCUAAGGAUCUUACACAUACCAACACUGCCAAGGAGCUAUACAAUGAUUUGCUUAAAUUAAAACGACGUGAGAUUGAUUUAGACCUCCAUGGAGUCUUCAUCUCAGACUACUAUAGAGCCAAACGAAUACCAAGAGGUUUCAGAGUUCGCAACGCUCCCACGAUAGGCAGACAAAACCCGGAUUUCUGCAGACACUGGAUGCAAAUAGCCAAUAAAUGUUCUCUAGAUUGGAUGGUCAUAGUUGUAGAGGAGGUGGGGAAAGAGUUAAUUCAAGUUAAAAAAAAGUAUUCAAGAAUUUGAAGUUAGCAAUAUCACCAUUUUGCAAGCACCUUCUACGCAUGAUACCAUGAUCAAACUCCAAGAUGAGAUUCAAAAAUAUCAAAACGACUUAAUAAGAUUUAAGAAACAAAAAUUUAAUAAAGUAAAUCACGAUUACACACAUCACCAAGUGUACAGAUGGCUAAGCGGCAGCGAUACUAACAGCAGGAAUCCUCCAUCAAGAUAUAAGCAGCGGAUCAUGAAACCACGGUUUCAAACCAUUGAUGUCAGCUCAGGUGAGUCCGCCUCUGACGCUGAGACAUUUGAAGGAAUACCCAAAUCUCAAACUACUCCUUUUUUAGAGAGAGAUAUUAUAUCCAAAGAUCCUCUGGAUACACCCAAGGAAAGGAGAGACACAAGAAAAAAAGACCCCUCAGGUGAGGAAAGAAGAGUAACUCGGUACACCAAUACCUCAGGAAGACCUCCGAUCCAGAGAACACGUCCGUAGUGUUCAAUCUGUCAGACAAAAAGCUCACAGAUGACCAUUUUUUUGUUCUAAAUAAAGGACUUACAUUUAUACCUAGUAGAAAACCAGAUGCCUUUGCCAUGGAAAUUGAACUGUACAAAUUAAAUCGUAUCUUGAAUUGUAAUGAAUUCAGAAAAAUUUAAAUCAACCGAUGCCCUAAUACUUUUUCUUCAAGAGAGAAGAAGGACAUUAAAACCAAUAGCAUUGCCAUCAAGUCUUAUAUACAAACAAUACAGAAAGAUGUACAAAGUAUUAUUAAAGUGCCUCCUCAUUCCAGACACAAUUUAACGAUCAAGGAAAAAGACGCUCUCAAAGAUCUUCAACAAGACCCCACAAUAGUCAUCCGCCCGGCGGACAAAGGGGGCGCAAUAGUCAUUCAAUCUUAUCAGCAAUACAGAAAAGAAAUCAUGAGGCAAUUGCAGGAUGAAAAAACUUACAAGAAACUUACAUUUGAUCCAGUUAAGAAGUUUCAACAACGGAUUACUGGCCUUAUUGAAAUAGGUCUUCAAGCAAAUUACAUUGACUCAAAUAUGGCUAAAUUUCUCAGAGUCGAGUUUCCAAUUCAUCCAGUAUUAUAUACCAUACCAAAAAUUCACAAAUCCUUACAAGAGCCUCCGGGAAGACCAAUAGUGUCGGCUAGAGGUGGACUCCUUGAGCCUAUAGCCAAAUUUGUGGAUUUUCACAUACAAGGUUGUGUUAAGGAAAUACCAUCAUGCCUCAGAGAUACUCAAGAUCUAUUAGAUCAAAUAAAAGAGUUAAGUAUCGCAACGGAUGUAGAAUUCAUUUUUGCUACACUUGAUGUGCAAAAUCUAUAUACGGUCAUACCAAUAACAGAAGGCAUUAAUGCGGUACGGGAAAUCCUUCUUAAAACAAAAACGUACCAAGGACCACCGAUUGAAUAUCUUCUGGAAUGGUUAACAUUUGCACUUACUUGCAAUUACUUUAAAUUCGAAACUUCGUUCUAUGUACAAACCUUUGGGACAGCGAUGGGGGCGGCCAUGGCACCUUCAUAUGCCAAUAUAUUUAUGGCCUGGUUUGAACAACAUCAUAUUUUUUCUAUGUUCCACACUAAAAUACUGAAGUAUUUCAGAUUUGUGGACGAUAUUUUGUUACUCUGGAAAGGAACCAAAGAAGAACUUAUUGAAAUGGUUACUACCAUCAAUAACUUACACACUCCGAUUAAACUCACUUCCACAAUUGAUGCUAAUACUAUCCAGUUUUUGGAUGUAUCACUAUUUAAAACUGACAAUGGCAUUGGCUAUACUCUUUUCCAAAAGGAAACAGAUCGGAAUACACUGCUUUUAGCCACCAGUUUUCAUCCGAAACAUUUCAUUGAUUCGUUACCUAUUUCCCAGUUCAUACGUGUACUACGCUACAAUAGUGAUCCCGUCCAAAUGAAUUUACAGUUACAACAAAUGCGACAGAGAUUCUUAGCUAGAGGUUAUUCGUCUCAAAUAUUAACCCUAGCUGAGACUAAAGCAAAAGAAAAAAUUCAGAAAACCUCUGAGAGAAUCAGUGAUCAAUCAACAGAAUGCAUAUUUCUUCCACUCACCUUUCACACUAAUAGUUCACAGAUCAAGAACACUAUAUACAAAUACUGGGAUAUACUAAAGGCAGACAAGCAUUUAUCACCAAUUUUUCAAAAUCCACCAGUUAUUAGUUACCGACGGAACAGGAGUUUGAGGGAUAUGCUGGUCCGUAAUGAUCCAGUACACUGUUACCAACAAGCUAAAGUAAUCAAGAAAAAAGGUUGCUACAGAUGCACAGGAUGUGUAACUGGUACAUCCUUUGCCCAUCCACAAACUGGUCAACGUAUUUCCAUUCAGCAUCAUAUCACUUGUAUGACGGAUCAUGUCAUUUACAUGAUCACAUGCCCUUGCGGGCUAUCAUACGUGGGUAAGACAGAUUUAACACUCCGGGAUAGAAUAAGAGGACAUCGCUCAGGUAUAACUACAGCUUUCCGGGAUCAACACUCAGAAAAAACAGUUGCCAAACAUUAUUUGGCUUUACAAUACCGAUUGCCCACACUGAAAUUUAUUGCGAUCGACCAUGUCCCACCUCCGUACCGAGGCAGUAACAGAUCCAAAAUAUUGCUACAGAGGGAAGCAUAUUGGAUCCAUUAUUUGGACACAGCUUCCCCUAAGGGACUUAAUGAACAUGUUACGUACUCCAUGUUUCUUUAAAUCGUGGUAGUUUGAAUUUUGGUUGUGGUGUCAUAUAAUAGCAUUAUAUUCUGAUAUGCAUAUAGUAUCUAGAAUUAGUAUCCGUUUUAGUUUAUUGAUUACUUUUCAAAUUGGCUGUUCUCUUAAAAAAAAAUUGGUUUAGUGAAUAGUCCCCUUUUUUAGGGUUUAUAGUAAUUUGUCUCAGAACAUUUUAGUUGAAUUUGACAUAAUAUCUGCUGCUAAGUAGGAUGUCUCCAAAUGUUUAUAAUUUUUCGAUUAGAUUUUUUGGGGAUUGUUUGAUUUUUUUACUAAAAUGUAUUUAGCGAAUAGUCCCCCUUUCUUUUGUGUUUUGUUUUUUGUUGAGCAAUAUGUUUCAGAAUAUCUAUGAUGUAUUUGUUAUCUGUUAAGGUGGAUAGCUCUGAAUGUAUAGAUUAGUGAGUGUCAAUAUUUAUGACUAUUAUUUGUCUUUAACAACAGUGGGACGAGUUGCUUUCAACAUUCUAACAUACAUUCAUUUGAUGCCUAGAUACCACUUGUUUUGCCACUUAGUUGUUUUGUCACUGAUUCACGUUUUUAAUGUAGAUACACAUUGGCACUUGCACAGUUUUUUUAGGUGUUUUGGGUUUAGCAGGCAUCUUUUCAAUCGCCCAAUGUAUUUUGCUAAUGCUUUUAUUUCUUCCAUCUCGAUUGUCUCUAUCAUAACACCGGUUUCACUUUCCCUUACCCACACGGGUUUCACUUGCAUAGUUUACCUGUUUCUAUAGUAAUCACUGAGCUUUCCGCCAUACGUAAUGACGUUAUGACGUCACGGGGCGGCCCUAUCUCACUUCCGGGCACCGGUGCAGGGAUUCACAACGAAAAUGAUUGGUAAGUGCACUCAUACUUUAUGUAUAUAUUGAUAUGAUUUUGUUUGUUACAGUAACCUUGAAAAAGACCCACAGAGGUCGAAACGUUGGUUUUUGGUUUGCACCUUGAAUAAAUAAAACUACAUUUUUUUCACCAAGUCCUGUGAGUGCAUCCUAUAUUUUCAAUUUGAUGAUAUAUAUAUAUAUAUAUAGUACACAAAACAAAGCAGGCUGCACUCACGGACUUCUGAAUAUCAAAUGUGGUUUAUUCCAUCCAAGAAACAAAAACGAUAUAUAUAUAUAAUAUAAUUUUACGUGUGUUUUGAUAAUAUGAUAUCUAUAUAUAUAUAUAUAUAUAUAUAUAUAUAUAUAUAUAUAUAUAUAUAUAUAUAUAUAUAUAUAUAUAUAUAUAUAUAUAUAUAUAUAUAUAUAUAUAUAUAUAUAUAUAUACACACACACAUAUAUAAGAGAUGCACUCUCAGGUCUUUGUAGAAAAAAAAACUCGAUAUUAUUUAAUAACCAGUAACCUACAUCUGAUCGACGUUUCGACCUCUUCAGGUCUUCCUCAAGAUAAUUUGUGUUAGGUGCUCAUGAUAGUACAGAGUAAAAUACCAUAAUUAAAUGUAGGAUAGUAAAAAGGGCAAGCAAGUCGGUUGUGGUGUGCCGGAACAGACGAUGAGGUAGGCCUGAGAAAGAAGAGGGGCCUACCCAGGAAAAAGAAAUAGAAAGGAAAUAAAUGUUGAAAUGUGGUGUGGUGGGAGGGUAAUUCAACGCUGACCUCGAACGGUAAGGAGCAAGGUAAGGGGUGUGCCUUAAGUAGGCUAGGAGUGGAUACCAAGCACCUCCCACAAAUCCAGGCAAAUUUCCUUAAUACUUGUGUUAGGUGCUCAUGAUAGUACAGAGUAAAAUACCAUAAUUAAAUGUAGGAUAGUAAAAAGGGCAAGUCGGUUGUGGUGUGCCGGAACCAACGAUGAGGUAGGCCUGAGAAAGAAGAGGACAAAAAUUAAUUAAGUAAUCAAAUUUAUUACAGACAACCAAUACAGAUACAUAUAUCAACCAGAUAUGUUUUUGAAAGCAUCCCUUAAUUCUUGUACUGGGUUCGGUAUGUAUCGUGAGUAAGCGGAUGACUUCCAGCGCCCCAGUGUUUUUAUAACAUGAACUGGAAUGUUGACACUGGAGGCUGUGGAUGCUGCUCCUAUGCGGAAGGAGUACCCUGAGUAGUUAGCUGCUUUGAGGCCAGUUGAGUGAGCAAAGACCUGACGUAGGUCAUGAAGGUUGUAGUGGUGAGUACCGAACUUUGUAAUAGUAGUAAUGGUUGUGAUGGUAUUGAAAUAUGAUGCUGUAGGUAUGCAUCCAGAACCUUGAUGGGGCACCACUUGUUGUGCGUGGGGUAGUAUGGAAUGUUUACUGGUAUGUGCUGGCUGGUUUUGGAGUGAGGUAGCGUCAGGAUGUAAUGAUGUUUUGUUAAGUGGGAAUAGAGGAGAAUAGGAGCAUGUGACGAGAGCAACCUCGCCACAUUGCAUUGGAGAAGCCUGGUUGCUCGCCUGCUGCCUUUGGAUUAUGGCCCCAUGUUAAAAGACUUUGUUUCCCCUGCAGAAAAGACUUAUUCGUGCUUUUCUGCCCGGUGUUCGGUAGAUUUAAUCUACCGAACAACCGCACGAAUGACUAGACCACCUGGGAGCUGGAGUGUGCCGGCAAUUAGCCUCCCAGAAGCUGCGGUUAACUGCAGCUUAAUUGACGAAUACUGGGUGGCCGCCAUUCGUAUACCGAACACGAGGUUGCGGCCAUUUUAAACACGCGAACGCCCAGCGGUAUUCGACACCUAACUCAUGGAAUUAAAAACGGACACAGUUUGGCACGAACACCGCUGAAGCCGCCGACCUCCCUUCUUGUUCGGUGGACGUACACGAACGGCCCUGUAUUUGGUAGUUGUACCUGACUACACCAUACCCCAGAUAGGAAUCCCAGUGAGCUCAUUCGUAUGAGAACUGACUUUGUGAACACUUUGGCUCCAUGGCGAUUGAACUGUAUUCGUGUAGUCUGAGCGCCAUUCACUUAAUAAUGUGCGCUCAGACCUGAGCUAUCUGGGGACAUGUUAAAUGUAUGCCUUUACUGUAACCGUUCCAACAUAGUGUAUUUUAAUAGUAAUUCCUGUAUUGGUAUCCCCACGUGCAUAAUGGCGAUUUGCCUUUGUCCUGGGAGAUAAUUGAAUUACUUCUCAAUUAUCUCCAGGGCAGAGGGGAGGAAGCCAGGAUGCAUUGUGGGAAUAUAAUUUGACUGUGUCCUAUUUUGCUGAUUGUCUGUCUUUUGUCACAGUCUCCCAUUUGGUCCCCUAGGGGAGUGUCCACCAGGUGGGAGACCUGCAUAAAUUCUGGGCAGGUAGCCCUCAUUAAACAGACCACUGCUUGACCCUCAACACGGAGCCUUGUCUCGUCUUUGGGGGAUUUACUGAAUGCUGAUAGAGACUGAUUGCUAGGAGUGUAAGCCGCUUGGAUGCUUUUCCUAUUCGUCUGCUAGCAGCUAUUCGUAUGGUUCCAGUUCGUGAGUUUGGAGUGCUAUAUUGUAUACAGUUCGGGAGAUUGGAGCAUUCCCUUAUUUGCGGUUCGGGAGUUUGGUGUUCUACAGUAGCUGUGCCUGCAUCUCUGAAAGGGGACGAUCGCCCCUUGUGUGCUGAAACGGUCCGUUACAGAGCAGAUUGUGUUAUGUUGGUUGUAGUAAACUCUCUAGGUCUUAGGAAUCCAUAGAAAGCUAUGUAUAUUGCUGCUUUGAAGACAGAAUUUGUAUUGGUGUCAAAAGGUUUUAAAUCAAGCAGGUUAGAUAAUGCCUUGAAGAUAUGGUUAUCUAUGGGUAGCCUCUGUGAUGUACAUGUGGGUUCAGAUUUCUGAAUGCCUCUGAGUAUGGCCUUGAUCUGGUGAGAGGCCAUGAAACUAGUAUUGUUAGGUUGUAAGAUUAGCAUAUGGUGUUGAAUGCCUGUGAGAUAAAGUUUGAUGGUGUUAUAUGACAUUUUAAGUUUAAGGUGGCAAAAAUAAGCAAAACCCAAAAUAGAUGGCAUAACAAAUGGUUGCAUGAUGUUAUGUUCCAAAAGGAAUCUUUUGAAUAGUGUAAAAGCCCUGUCGUAUGUUUUGUGUGUAUUCUUUGACAGUGCCAAUUGAGACAGUGUCCUGCUAUGAUGCAUGAUGAUGUCUAGUCCAGUAUUAGUUGUUGAAAUGUUGGAGUAGUAGUGGCUGUGAGCGCAGCUGACGGGAGUGCUUGAUGAAAUGCCUGAAAUUUAAAACGAGAUAAACUGUCAGCAGCUGUGUUACAUAUUCCUGGAACAUGGAAACAAUAUAGAAAGAAAUUAUGACAAGCUGCCAACCACGUGAGUUUCCUCAGAAAUCUCAUGAUCGUAAGGAAUUUGGAGUGACCUUUGUUGAUGAUGGGACAGGUUGCCUGGUUGUCUGAGUAACAGCGAACUGGCAUAUUUGCCCAUAAAUGACCCCAUGCUACGGCAGCUGCCACAAUGGGAUAGAUCUCAAAGAGAGCUGAGGUAGUGGAAAAACCUUCCAAAUCCUGAACGGCUGUAGGUCAGCUGCCCCAAAGCCAUUCGUUCCCAAAAAUUGCUGCAAAACAUGUGGUAGAUGUUGCAUCUGACCAAAUAGUAGGUGAUGAGUCAGUCAAUUGAGGGAGGAACAUAAUUUUACCAUUCCAAGUGGUUAAAAAUUCCUUCCACGUGCGUAGGUCUGCCGUAGCUUGGUUAUCUAAGGACAACCUCUGUGUGUCAUGUAGGAAGCGUGGAAAAAGGUACAAGAGUCGUGAUAUGAAGGAGCGGCCUUGAGGUAUGAUACGCAUGGCAAAAUUUAGUGACCCCAGCAGGAACUGUAGCUCUUUGCGGUUGCAAGUACCGAGCUGAAGGUAGCGGUUGAUGUAAGUAAGAAUGUUCUCUAUCUUGUCGUGUGGUAGGCUUGCUUGCAUUGUGGUUGAGUCUAAUUGAAUACCCAGGAAAGUGAUAAUCUUGUCUGGCCCCUCUGUUUUCUUAGCGGAGAUUGGUACACCUAUUUGCUCGAAUAGCUUGGUGGUAGCUUUGAGGCUACUAGGAGGGGAAGUAUUUUCCUCGACCAGUAAGAAGUCGUCCAGGUAAUAUUAUACCGUAGGGCAUCUGGCUAUGUUCAAUAGUAACCAGCACAAUGCUUCGGCAAAUGUGUCGAAAAUAGCUGGGCUACUUUUGGACCCAAAAGUUAAACAGGAGAAAAAAUAGUAGUUCCUGGCCCACUUGAUUCCAUGCAGGUGCCACAGUGUGGGGUGGAUUGGUAGAAAUUUAAAGGCAUUAGUAAUAUCGGUCUUACUAAGCCAGGCUCCGACCCCUGCUUGUAUGAUCGCUGUAAUGGCGUGAUCUAUGGUGGUGUAUUGCAGGGAGAAUUCCUCGGAGGGUAUGAGGGAAUUAAGACUGUGGCCCGAUGAGUGUGGUGCAGACAAGUCAAUGAUGAGUCUCUGUUUAAGGGAAGAUUUCCCUGUGACAAUACCAAUGGGUAUUAUGGCGUACCAAUGGAGCUUUGAAAGGCCCCAAUACGAAACCCUCAGCAACUUCUUGGGCUAUGAGAGUGUCAACAGCUGUGGGAUUAUGUUGGCGGAAUGUAUAUUAAUGGACGUGAGGUAAGGCUUAGAAUACAUUUUAUUUGGACACAUGGUUUUUGCAUGUGCCCUAAAACAUUUUAAACAGAUAUGCAAUAAUCUGCAACCGCUAUAAUUACAAGACCCAACAUUGAAAUUAUUACAUAUCUGGGACUUGCCCAGGAACUUGAUCGGGCAUCCCAGUUUGUCUCUGUUCACUUUCUCUGGAACACCAGAGGAACUAGCUCCUUGCAUGGAGGCAUGUUCGUCAGCCGUGUUGGGACAGAAAUUUGUCGUAUGGGCUGUAGAGGAGCAGUAUGCACAAGCCGGUGUUCUUAGACCUGCAAAGUGACUCCAAAAUAUGGCGGUAUCUAUCCUUCCCCAGUUGGAUCUUGUUCCAUACUGGGAGAACGCUCCAGACACUUUUGCAGAAAAAGUCCUAUGGUAGUCAUAAAAGGUUGAACCACCAUAUUUGUUGCCCAGGUCUACCAGCUUGUGCAUAUAAACAUCAAACUCCUCUCUUCUAUUGGGAUAGACCGCACAUAUGACAUCCCGGUAAAUACCAAAGGCCAGUACAAACUCGGGGAUAGUCAGUUUCCUGUUUAGGCGGGCGUCCCUAGAUCUGACAACAACAGACACAUCAUCAUAAGCAUAAGUCUUAUUCUCCACAAUAUCCUGGGAGGCAAUCAGCAGGGAAGCUAGGUUGACGUCUUUACCUUCCAGGAUAUCUCUUUUUAUGUGCUCAGGGAUCAUAUGAGCAGGGCUAACUUCCUGGUCAUCCGAGGUGAUGGAACCAAUAGCAAGUCGGCUGGUGCUUGUGAAGCAGCAGCGGGUGGCCCUGCUAGAGUAAGGGCCGUGGUGUCCGACUCAAGUUUCUCCAACCUGGAGUUGACCUUGCUCAUGAGUGAAGAUAACAUAGAAUGUAUGUCUCCUGGGUUGGACUGGCUAGGUCCUUCACCGGGAUCCAUGUUGUUAUUUGAGGUACGUAGCAGUUUGAAAAGUUCUGCUUUCCUUGCUGUAGCGGGGUAGGGGAUUUGCCCUCUCCUUAGUUCGGUAGUUAUACGAGGGACCGUCCAGGAUCUGAUCGAUGCUGGACUAUUUACCUCUCCUCCUUGUGUAGGAGUGAUAGCUCUAGCCGGAGUGCUAGGCAGGGAGAAAUCCUCUACCCCUUCCUGAGACAUACUAUAACCAAAACAAUUAAUUAGUGUAUGAAAAACACCAAAAUCGUACUGGCAGGCUAGCUAAGCCAGAUGGCGAAACAUUACACUUGUUUGGUGACAGGUGAGGCCCUACUAGUUGCCAAGUGGCUUGAGAGGCUCUAUCUAUGCGUUGACGCGAGGGGAUUUGAGGCCACCCUUCGGAGUGGCAGGAAUUUUAGGCCUCUCGGUGACUGUAACAUAGAAAACAGGGAAAGGGAGUGACAGGUGAGGCCCUCUCUAUGCAACAUGCGAGGCGGAUAGCUAACGUGUGGCCCGAUGGGUUUUUGCCUCUGAAACGUUGAGGGGGGGUGUUGGCCUCGCGGGACCACUAACUGAUGGCAAUGCCAAGAGGGGGUAAAUACCUAUUGGGAAGCCUAUGGUACUCAGGGGCCAGUACUCUAACCUAAGGAGGAGAAAUGAAAUGUAUGGCAGAGUACCAUAUGAGCAGGUGUACGUACCUGGUAGUAUGAAUAUCUCACAGGAAACCAUGUGGUGAAAAUAUCUAUUUAAACCUGGACACAGGGCCGUCUUUAACACAGGGCAAACGGGGCAGCUGCCCUGGGCCCAGUUACUCCUGGGGGGCCCAAAGCAGCUGCCCUGUGGGCCCACAACAAUUUGGAGGGGCCUAUCAGGUGGCCCAUGCAUUUAGGGCCACCGAUGGGUGUCUCUGAACAGGCACCCGGUGGGGUGCCAUGGCCCUUUAAGAGCAGACCGGGCCCCUGUAGUAUUAGCUGGAUGGGAGGAAGUGACAGCCGAUCACUUCCUCCCAGCUUCAGAAGAGAGGACCGCGGGAGGAAGGAGGCCGCAGCAGGUAGCAGCAUGGGGGGUGGGGGGGGGAGAGGCAAGAAUGAGCUUCUGCUCAUUCCCACUCCUAUCAGCCUCAGCCAGCUCUAAGCUGAGUUGAAGGUAAGUGUAUCCAGUCCCUGAUCCUUUUCUUCUGGGUGAAUGGCUGCAGCUAGGAUAGUUUUUAGAAAAACCACCCCACUCAAUGCCCCUGCCCUGCUUUCCCCCACUUACUGCUUAUUUUCUCUGUGCCCCCACUUACUGCUUAUCUUCUCUGUGCCCCCACUUAAUGCCCCUGCCCUGCCUUCCCCACUCACUUCUUCACUUUUCUGUGCCCUCACUCUCUGGCCCUGCCCUGCCUUCCCCACUUACUUCUUCUCUUCUCUGUGCCCCCACUCUCUGCCCCUGCCCUGCCUUCCCCCACUCACUGCUCCUGCCUCCCCCCCUCACUGCUUUUUUUACCCUGUGCCCCCACUCACUGCCUUUCUACUAUGUGCCCCUACUCACUGCUUUUUUUCUGUUUAGAUUAGUUUAAUUAUUGCUGCAGUUGCAUUUAAGCACAGGUGAUGAGAGGAUGAGAAACAUAAUUGGCGUGUAUUUUUUUUGUAUUUUAUAUUUAAAUUCUUUGUUUGUUGUGCAUUACAUAUAACAGUACCAGCUUGCCUUGCCACAGGAGCAUCAGCAUUUACAAGCUUUGUGCCUCCUCCAACUCUCUGCUCCUGCCCUGCUGCAAACAUAAAAAUUAUCACAUGUAUGUCAGAGUGUGUGUAUCUGUGUGUAUGUGUGUGUAACUGUGUCGGUGUGUAUCUGAGUGUUUAUGUGCCAGUGUGCAUAUCAGAAUUUGUGUGCAUGUGCCAGUGUGUGUAUCUGUGUGUCAAGGUAUGUGCAUGGGUCAGUAUGUUUAUAUGUGUGUUGAUGUGUAUGUAACUGUGUAUGUGUAUACAUCCCAGCAAUCAAAAACAACAGGCAAACACAUCCCUGAUAACACAAACAUUACAGACAAACACACCCCUGAUUUCAAACUCAAAAUUAUAUAUAAAACACACCCUUUACCCAAACACCAAUACUAUACACAAAUGUUUAGAAGACAACUAGAGAUGUCGCGAACCGUCCGCGAACUUCUCGCGAGCGGGUUCGUGGCGAACUCUGGUCAGCUGACACAGCACGAGCUACAUACUUAUUCUGAGCUUGUUUGCUUGCACAGGGACAGUGAAUACUAUACACUGCCAUAUGUAACCAUAAGUUUCUUUUUGGUAAUCCACUGUUACAUUUAUAUUAGAUGCAGGUAUCCCUGUGCUAUCUAAAUAUAGCUUUGUGAUUCAAUCAUCAUUGUAUGCAGCUUAUUUGUACCUUUGGGACACAACUCACCUUGUAUACUUUGAUUUGUAUACAACUUUAUUGUAAAAACCGUAUGGUUUUUGCACAUUGCUAGGAGAAGGAUCCUGAAAACUUUUGAACAGGACCUCUUCAUCUUUAUCUAUAUCUUGAUUAUAGUUACAUUUAGUGUGAGUUUGUUCUCCCAUUAGGAUUGGAAAACAGAAGCUGGAACGAAUAGUUUAAACAUAUGAAUUUUAUGCGAACCGCAAGCGUGUUUGAGCGUAUCAUGAAAAAGUGCCGAACGGCAAAACAACCGAAAUGAUAACCUGUUUCACUGUAACAUGGAAUAGUAAUAUGCGAAAUGACUACUUAUACGAAUAUACUGGUUAGCCGAAUGACCGUACUAAUGAAAACCGCGAGCGGCUUGUAUAAUUUGUGACAUAACAGGGAAAAACCGUAAAGCAAGGACCCGUGCUGUACCGUACGCCGUGGGAACCGAUCCUGGCGUGACAGGUAGGUCUAACUUACGGUUUAGGAGUCCCUGGGACGCGAUCUACGACGAUGACCAGGGUCAAAAGAAACUGGACGGACGGAAAAGGCCUGAACAGGAUUCCUGGACACAGCUUGACGCGGAAAAACCUCGUGGAUACUGAAAAACCAAGAUGGCGUCUGAGAGAACCCGGAAGUGGAUCCUCACUUAACGCUGACCUCGAACGGUAAGGAGCAAGGUAAGGGGUGUGCCUUAAGUAGGCUAGGAGUGGAUACCAAGCACCUCCCACAAAUACAGGCAAAUUGCCUUAAUACAUAUACACAUACACAUAUAUAUAUAUAUGUAUAUAUAUAUACAUACGUAUGUAUAUAUAUUUUAAUUCUACGUCUAUAUUUAUGUAAUAUUUUUAAAGAAUUAGGUAAUUGUAUUAAUUACAAUUUGCGGGACCUGCCUGAUAACCCCGGGAGAAAGUCCAGAGAAUUUAAUUUGCUAGCACUAUAUUUAACCCUGUAACUUUCUAAGACACCAUAAAACCUGUACAUGGGGGGUACUGUUGUACUCGGGAGACUUCACUGAACACCAAUAUUAGUGUUACAAAACAGUAAAAUGUAUUACAAGGAUGAUAUCAUCAGCAAAAGUCAAAUUUUUUACAUUUUUCACACACAAACGGCACUUACACUAGCGAUAUAAUUGUUGUGAUACGUUUUACGGUUUUGAAACACUAAUAUUUGUAUUCGUCGAAGUCUCUUGAGUAUAACAGUACCCCUCAUGUACAGGUUUUAUGGUGUCUUCAAAAGUUAAACGGUCAAAUGUAAGGCUUGUGUUUCCGUUUUUUCACAUUUAAACUAGCCAAAUUUGUUGUGUUGCCUUUGAGACCGUAUGGUAGCCCAGGAAUGGAAUUACCCCCGUGAUGGCACUGGGUACGUCCAGUCUUUUUUAGUAGCCACUUAGUCACAAACACUGGCCAAAAUUGGUGUUCAAAUUAUUUUUUUGCAUUUUUCACACACAAACAAAUAUUAAUGCGAACUUUGGCCAGUGUUUGUUACUAAGUGGCUACUAAAAAAGACUGGACGUACAUUUGCAAUACCUUGGGUUGUCUAGUAUUGCAAAUUGUAUGCCAUCAUGGGGGUAAUUCUCAUUUCUGGGCUACAAUACAGUCUCAAAGGCAACAUAACCAAUCUGGUGAAUUUCAAUGUGAAAAAAAAUGAAAAAUGUCACAUGCUAUAUUUGACCCUAUAACUUCCCAAAACAUAAAACCUGUACAUAGGGGGUACUGUUUUACACGUGAGACAUCGCUAAAUACAAAUAUAUGUAUUUUAUUGCAGUAAAAGCAAACAGUCUUAUGACAUUCACAUUUAAAAUGUCAUGCAGAACUAAAAAAAUAAAAAUUUUAAAUUUCUCACAUUUUUUUAUAUUUUAUUCAUAUUAAAUUAUGUUUCAAGCUAAAUAUGUUAAAUGAAAGCCCUAUUUUUCCUGAAUAAAAUGAUAUAUAAUAGGUGUGGGUGCACUUAAUAUGAAAGAGGUGUAUUACGGUUAAACAGACAUAUAUUCAAAUUCCAAGUUUUGUUUACGUUUUACUUUGAUCAAAACGUGUACAUUUAGCUCAGUCCUUAAGGGGUUAACUGUGAAUGUCAUAAUACUGCUAGCUGUUACUGCAAUAAUGUACACAUAUUUGUAUUCAGCAAUGUCUCACGAGUAAAACAGUACCCCCAAUGUACAGUUUUUAUGGUGCUUUGAAGGGAUGGUUUCCCAAGUGCGCAGCCCCUGAUGACCUGUUCCUAGACAAAGCAGCCCUAAGAUCAUGGGAAUUUGACAUCUGACUACAUAAAUCAAUCAUCAAUCAAAAGAAUCAACAGAAGCUUUUUCCAUGAUUGAUUAUUCCAAUACCAGCUCUCACAGUUCCAAAUGGGACUCUGUCUUCAAAUACUUCAGCAAACCUGCAUAGUCGAACAACUGAAGGGGUGAGAUCAAACCAUAUUUUUUUUAAGUAGUUUUUUACUGAGUGCUCAGCUGGUUGAAAAUAUAUAUUUUCAUUUUUUUCGCUUUUUUUUUUUUUAUUUCAUUUCUUUUUUUUUUUGCUCCUAUUUUUUUGGGUUAAUGAUUGUUGUAUGUUCAUGUGUAUAUAUGUAUAUAUGGAUGGCUUUUUUUGAUUAAUAUACACACUAUCACUAGUGGAUCUGAAUUAUUACUUUUGCUCAAUACUUAUUUAGCUCAUUGGUUUGUUGGUAUCAACCUGAAUGGUAUUAACCUGAAUAUCCAUUUGCUGGGCCUUAGCCAGGACACUUUAAUUUUUUUCUCUCCAGGAUUAGGAAUAAUAUACUGUAUUCCCACCUGAGAAAGUGUUUCUCCCAAGAUUAGCGUUUUGUUGUAUAUCUUAUAAAAGUGUUUACUUUCGGUAUAUGUAUUCUACAAUAUAUACAUUGCCCUAAAAAAUUAUUUUGUAUUCCUAUAUUUUGGGGGUAUUUUAGUUAGAGGUUCAGUCAUAGGAGGGGAACCCCAAUUCCAGCACCUUUCACAGCUGAGUGUCAUCGUAGAGUUAUGUUUUUUAUGGUGUUUUGGAAAGAUACAGAGUCAAUUAUAGCACAUUAAAUUUUUCAGUUUAUACCCAUUGAAAUUUGCCAGACUGGUUAUGUUUCAUUUGAGACCGUAUGGUAGCAGAGGAAUGAGAAUUACCCCCAUGAUAGCAUACCAUUAUGCAGUCCACCUUCCAGUAGAUGGCAGCAUAGGGGAGUUAUGCACUUGUUCUGUUGUGUUAGUGUCUCUUGUGUUAUGUCAUUAUGUGUGUGUACUGAAGUAAAGAAAAGUCCUAUUUUACUACAGUAACACUUUUCUUUUGGAAUUCUAUUAUCUACAAAUAUCUCUAGCAUGGCUUCUCUGGGACACAUGGAGUAAUUUGAUCUGGCUAAUCCAGCCUCAUGGGACUCAUAUGCUGACAGAUUAGUGUUUUUCCUGAAAGCUAAUAAGGUGGUUGAUGCUAUUCAGAAGAGAGCUGUGUUACUGAGUGUUAUUGGAUCCAAGACUUUGGAUACUGUCCGCUCACUGAUAUCACCUGCUAAACCACAAGACUACUCAUUUGAAGAAAUACUGGCACUGUUAAAAAAUCAUUUAGCACCUGUAACGGAACCGCUGGCACCCCGACCGGGUACCUUCCGCCGACGGAUGCUCCUAGUGCUUUCCGAGGACUCCAAGCACUCUGCCUGACACCAUAACCACUGCAUACCCCACGAACCGCCGCAGCUUGGUUGGGGUCUCGCCGUCUCCACCCACUCUGGACCCAGGACCAGGGUCCAGCUUCCAGCAGGUCGACCUCUCUCCGAAUUCCAGAGAGCAGGAACAGGAACAAGCUCUUAGCAGAGCUUAGUGAUUAUACCCUGGGGAGUAUAGUGAUUAUAGCAAUCCCCAGAGUGUAGUUUCUCCAAUCCCCCAAACAUGAGCCGAAACUUCAUGAAGGUACAAGAUGAUCUGACUCCAAUGAGCGUUUAUUACUCCUUAUAUACAAGUUUUCAGGUCAGAGGCACACCCCCUGGACCUGGUGGUAAACUGUGACAAAAGGGACACAAACCAAUGGGAACACUAAUUAACAUGAUAACACUCUCACAUACACAAUGAAAUCCCUCCUCUCCAUCCUGGAGAUAAUUGGCUUAAGGCACUGCAGUAAACUCAAUUAUCUCCAGGUACAGAAAAUAUCUACAUUUAACACUAACAGCAAAAUACGUAAAAGUACAUAAAAAUACAUAAUUCUUAUUUUAUUACACAGAACCCCCACAUUUAACCUAUCCCCAGAUAGCUCGGAUCUGAGCGCCCAAUCUAGGUGAACAGCGCUCAGAUCCCAUGAACAGAGUAGAUUUUCCAUGGGGUAAAGCAUAGCAAGGGCUGUUGAGAAACCAAGGAGGGACAAAAGCAGUCAGUUCCAACUGGUUUGGCAGUGUGCCUGGGACAACACCCUGCUGGAGAACAAUAGACAGGAAACGGGGGAGGGGAAGAAACACACCUUCCCAUGGAUUCAAAUGGGAAGAAACUGUCUUUAGAAGCCAAUAAGCCCCAAAUAGUCUUUUUAAAUGGCAAUACACCCCAGGGCCAUAGUCAUGAGGAAGGAGGCUGGCAAUCAGGCUCCUCCAAAAGCCAGGGCCAAAGGGCAGCUUGUCACCUAACAAUCCAGGGACAAAAGGCAUUUCGUCACACAUCUCCCCUUUGGGGGGGAGACUAACCAGGUACCUGACCUGUCGGUCAGUGCCUGAGUUAGUCGAUAAACCCACCCACAGUGAACAAGUACAUGAGUAGCCCACCCACAAAUAACAAGUGGCAAAGUAGCCCCCCCACAAUAAACAGUACUGGCCGGUAGGUUCCAGGUUGUAGGAUAAAAAUGCAGCAUCCUCGGCCUUCCUGGUGCAGCUGGGCAAAUAGCUGGUGGCACUUGGGGGGCAAAGGCCAGCGGUACUCUGCCCUGAUGUCAGCUCUUGCGCUGGGAUAGCCGGCAGAAUGUCAAGCUCUGUACAAGGGUCAAAGGGAGGGCAGAGGCCAACUGCACUCUGCCCAGCUGCCAGCUCUUCCGCUGGUAUAGGCUGCAGGACAUCAGGCUCUGGACAAGGGACACAGGGAGGGCAGAGGCCGACUGCACUCUGCCCAGCUGUCAGCUCUUCUGCUGGGGUGCUGGGAACAUAGUCCGGCUCAGUAGCCAGGGGAACAUGGGAGUCAGUGGGGGUUAACAUCUCCUCUGUUAACCCUGGGGCCAAGUUAGGAGUUAGCUGGGGAGGGGAAUUCGUACUUACCCCCUCCUCCUGUUGUCCCUGUGAGGGUAGUUGGGGAUCUGGACAGGCUGUCCAGCAUCCCUGUAGGUCGGGCACGGAGACCACGGUCCCCUCUGCGCCAUCUGGGAGAAUGGUGUCUCCCCUUGGUAGGGUAAGCUGCCGCUGGGGAGAUAGGGUGCUGUGCUCCUCUCCCUGAAACACAGUCUGCCGCUGGAGAGGGAGACCGCCUGUCUCCACUCCCAUAACAUUAUCCUGCUGCUGGAGAGAGAGACCAACUGUCUCUGCUCCCGGUAGGACACACUGCUGCUGGGGGGGAAGGAUGACACCUUCGGCCCCCUGGAAUUCACACUGCCGCUGGGGAGGAAGGGCGACACCUUCGACUCCCUGUAAUUCACACUGCUGCUGGGGAGGAAGGACGACACCUUCGGCUCCCUGUAACUUGCACUGCCGCUGGGGAGAGAGACCGGUUGUCUCUUCUCCCUUGUCAACACACUGCCGCUGGGGAGUCAGACCGACUGUCUCGACUCCCAGUGAUGAUGGUUGCUGCAGGGACGAGGGACCGACAAUCUCCUCUCCCUGGGAUGCUGUCUGCCGCUGGGGAGAGAGACCGGUUGUCUCCUCUCCCUUGACAACCCACUGCCGCUGGGGAGUCAGAGCGACUGUCUCAACUCCCAGUGAUGAUGGUUGCUGCAGGGACGAGGGACCGACAAUCUCCUCUCCCUGGGAUGCUGUCUGCCGCUGGGGAGAGAGACCGGUUGUCUCCUCUCCCUUGACAACCCACUGCCGCUGGGGAGUCAGAGCGACUGUCUCAACUCCCAGUGAUGAUGGUUGUUGCAGGGACGAGGGACCGACAAUCUCCUCGCCCUGGGAUGCUGUCUGCCGCUGGGGAGAGAGAUCAAUUGGCCACAGCCCCAAUCUCCGCAAUCGGAGCUCAAAUUCCCAUGCCGCUCGAUUCUCCUCAUCCAACUUGCGCAUGGUUGCCAGAAUCGCCUCUGUCGAAAGAUUCGGGCCAUAUCUGGUUAACCGCCUCUUGACCUCCUCCCUGUAAGCGUCGCCCUCAAAGCGAUAGGUCAUGUUUGCUGUGAACAGGGGCGCUGUACGAAUACUAGCGUUGCCCUCAAAUUGUAAUUCCAAAUGUUACCGGUGCCUCUGCGCUGCUUCUCCUCGCACUAGGACGCCAUCCCACCGCUGCCACCACUGUAACGGAACCGCUGGCACCCCGACCGGGUACCUUCCGCCGACGGAUGCUCCUAGUGCUUUCCGAGGACUCCAAGCACUCUGCCUGACACCAUAACCACUGCAUACCCCACGAACCGCCGCAGCUUGGUUGGGGUCUCGCCGUCUCCACCCACUCUGGACCCAGGACCAGGGUCCAGCUUCCAGCAGGUCGACCUCUCUCCGAAUUCCAGAGAGCAGGAACAGGAACAAGCUCUUAGCAGAGCUUAGUGAUUAUACCCUGGGGAGUAUAGUGAUUAUAGCAAUCCCCAGAGUGUAGUUUCUCCAAUCCCCCAAACAUGAGCCGAAACUUCAUGAAGGUACAAGAUGAUCUGACUCCAGUGAGCGUUUAUUACUCCUUAUAUACAAGUUUUCAGGUCAGAGGCACACCCUACUGGACCUGGUGGUAAACUGUGACAAAAGGGACACAAACCAAUGGGAACACUAAUUAACAUGAUAACACUCUCACAUACACAAUGAAAUCCCUCCUCUCCAUCCUGGAGAUAAUUGGCUUAAGGCACUGCAGUAAACUCAAUUAUCUCCAGGUACAGAAAAUAUCUACAUUUAACACUAACAGCAAAAAUACGUAAAAGUACAUAAAAAUACAUAAUUCUUAUUUUAUUACACAGAACCCCCACAUUUAACCUAUCCCCAGAUAGCUCGGAUCUGAGCGCCCAAUCUAGGUGAACAGCGCUCAGAUCCCAUGAACAGAGUAGAUUUUCCAUGGGGUAAAGCAUAGCAAGGGCUGUUGAGAAACCAAGGAGGGACAAAAGCAGUCAGUUCCAACUGGUUUGGCAGUGUGCCUGGGACAACACCCUGCUGUAGAACAAUAGACAGGAAACGGGGGAGGGGAAGAAACACACCUUCCCAUGGAUUCAAAUGGGAAGAAACUGUCUUUAGAAGCCAAUAAGCCCCAAAUAGUCUUUUUAAAUGGCAAUACACCCCAGGGCCAUAGUCAUGAGGAAGGAGGCUGGCAAUCAGGCUCCUCCAAAAGCCAGGGCCAAAGGGCAGCUUGUGACCUAACAAUCCAGGGACAAAAGGCAUUUCAUCACAGCACCCACCCCAUCUGAAACAGUGAGGCGUUUUAAUUGACUAAAUUAGAAACCAGGUGAAAGCAUUGCAGCAUAUAUUGCAGAACUGUGCAGGCUGUCUGAAAAUUACAAUUUUGGUGCCAGUUUAGAAUCCUUGUUAAGGGACAGGCUUGUGUGUGGGGUGCAAGAUGAAGCACUGCAGAGGAGACUGCUUGCAAGACAGAAUUUAACUUUUAUUAUUGUACAAGAGGAAGCGCUCGCAAAUGAGGCUGCAUAUGUCCAUUCAAAAGAGAUACACUCCUCCUCCAACAAAGAGAACUCACCUGAAAUAAAUGUAGUGAAGAAGACUGAUGUUAAAUCAAAGGACUUUUCAACACGCACUGAUGUCACAGCUCCAUUUAAAGGAACUUGUUAUAGUUGUGGUGGAAAACACAGGCGUAAUACAUGUCGUUUUCGAAAUGCAGUUUGCAACACAUGUAGACUUACAGGUCACAUACAGACAGUUUGCCAAAGAUAAGCCAGUGGAAUUCAAACCCAAUAAAAGAAUGCGAAUACAAUACAAACCUCAGCGCACUCUGUUAAUACUCCAAAUACCAUUUCAGAUAGUGAAAUGACUACAGGUUUUUACUCAAAUGACUAUAUGAAUAAAGUGGAAAAUUUGCCAUCAGGACUGAAGGUUUACACUGAAAUUAUGCUGCAAGGUGUUCCGUGCAAAAUGGAAGUGCGCAUAUUUUUUGAUUUCAGAAAAUACAUUUAUGGGUUUGCAGAUGACACAAAACUUUGUAAAAUAAUACAGUGUGAGCAAGAUAUUACUUUGCUGCAGAGGGAUUUAGAUAGACUGGGCACUCAAAUUGCAGAUGAAAUUUAAUGUUGAAAAAUGCAAAGUUAUCCACUUCGGCGUAAAAAAUAAACACGAGCAACGUAUACCCUUAAAGGAAGUGAAUUAGGGAUAACAACACACGAAAAGGACUUGGGAAUUGUUAUAGACAACAAACUAUGCAACAAUGUGCAAUGUCAAUCAGCAGUGGCCAAGGCCAGUAAGGUAUUGUCAUGCAUGAAAAAGGGCAUUCAUUCUCAGGACGAGAAUAUCAUUUUGCCUCUUUAUAAAUCACUGGUAAGACCCCAUAUUGAAUAUGCUGUGCAAUUAUGGGCACCUGUUCUAAAGAAGGAUAUUAUGGCAGUAGAAAAAGUGCAGAGGCAGGCUACAAAAUUAAUAAAAGGAAUGGAACAUAUCAGCUAUGAAGAAAGGUUAACAAAUUUAAACCUAUUUAGUUUAGAAAAAAGUUGACUGAGAGGGGAUAUGAUAACAUUAUACAAAUAUCUUUGGGGCCAAUACAAACCAUUGUGUGGAAAUCUAUUCACAAACCGGACUUUACAUAGGACACGAGGCCAUGCGUUCAGACUGGAAGAAAGAAGAUUUCGUCUAAGGCAAAGGAAAGGUUUUUUUUACUGUAAGAACAAUCAGGAUGUGGAAUUCUCUGCCUGAAGAAGUGGUUUUAUCAUAGUCCAUACAGAUGUUCAAACAGCUACUAGAUGAAUACUUGCAAAAACAGAAUAUUCAAGGAUAUAAUAUUUCAAUGUUGGGUAAUAACUGCUUGAUCCAAGGAUAAAUCUGACUGCCAUUCUGGGGUCAAGAAGGAAUUUUUUUCCUAGCUUGUUGCAAAAUUGUGCUUCAAACUGUUUUUUUUGCUUUCUUUUGGAUCAACAGCAAAAAACAAAUGUGAAGAAGGCUGAACUUGAUGGACGCAAGUCUCUUUUCAGCUAUGUAACUAUGUAACUAUGUAACAUUGUUAUGGCCUCAUAAUUCUCCUUCAAUAGUACCUUGUGAUAUUCAUCUGGUGGACUACAACAAACAGGCUGUGGAUGUUAAAGGGCUUGUUUUAUACCAGUAAAAUAUGGUAAAUUCAGAGGACACUUACGUUUAAUAAUUACUAAGGGACAAAGAGCAAGUUUGCUAGGUAGAGAGUGGUUUGAACCCUUAGGAAUUUCAUUAACUGGAGUUAAUAAUGUAUCCACAGAUAUUCCACAGAAUGUGAUUGAUAAAUUUAGUGCAGUUUUUGAAGAAGGUCUUGGCAUGUUUAAAGGCCCUCCUGUUUCUUUUAUAUUAGAUCCAACAGUACCCCCAAUUCAUAUGAAGCCUCGCAGAAUUGCAUUAGCUCUCAGACCAAAAAUAGAUUCUGAGAUUACACGUCUUGUGGAACAAGGUAUACUUGAACCCGUAACACACCCAAAGUGGUGUACACCCAUAGUUCCGGUGAUGAAACCAAAUGGUGAUGUCAGAAUCUGUGCUGACUACAAAUGUACACUCAACAAAGCAUUGCAAGAGCAUCCCUAUCAAAUUCCAGCUGUUAAUUAAAUUCUUACUACUUUGGCAAAAGGAAAAGUAUUUGCCAAAUUGGAUAUGGCUCAAGCCUACCAGCAAGUUACCUGUGGAUGAUGAGGCUGCUGAUGCACAAACAAUAAUAACACACAAAGGAGCUUUCCGAGCAAGACGUUUGCAGUUUGGAGUUUCCAUUGCUCCUGGCAUAUUCCAGAAUUUAAUGGAGGACCUCUUAUCUGGACUUCCAGGUGUAGUGACUUAUUUUGAUGAUGUUCUUAUUGGAGCAUAUUCUAUACAGUCACUGGCUGCACAGCUACAACUUGUUUUACAAUGUUUUCUUGAUGCUGGUCUAAAACCUAAAAAAGAGGUGUGUUUUUGGUGUAAACUGCAUGGAGUUCCUUGGAUACCGAGUUGACGCACAGGGCAUUCAUCCAACUGAUUCUAAGGUUGAAGCUAUUGAUAGAGCUCUGGUUCCAACAAACAAACAAGAACUACAAGCUUUCCAAGGGUUGCUUAAUUUCUUUCAUUCUUUCCUGCCUGAUAAAGUCACUGUUGCUGAACCUCUGCAUCGUCUACUAGACCAAGAUUCUCCAUGGAAGUGGACUGAUGUUCAUACUACCGCUUUCAGCGCUGCAAAAAAACUAUUGUCUUCCGACAGUGUACUUGUACACUAUGAUUUGGAAAAACUGCUCAACCUCACCUGUGAUGCUUCUCCAUAUGGCAAAGGGGCUGUAUUGAGCCACACUUUGAGAAAUGGGGUUGAGGCUCCUAUUGUGUUUUAUUCACAGACUUUAUCUACUAAGGAGAGGAAUUACGCCCAAAUUGACAAGGAGGCUUUAGCUAUUGUGUCCGGUGUAAAAAAGUUUCAUGACUAUUUGUAUGGGCGGAGGUUUACUAUUAUAACAGAUCAUAAACCUUUACUGGUGUGUUCACCAGAAAUACUCCCACUCCUCAAAUUAUUUCACCAUGCAUGCUCAGAUGGUCCCUUAUGCUGAAUGCUUAUGAUUAUGAGUUUAAGUAUCGUCCUGGCAAGGAUAUCACACAUGCUGAUGGCUUAAGCCGAUUACCUUUGCCUUCUCCUGACUUCCUUGUGUCUCCUAUGUCUGAGGUCCUCAUGUUGGAAUUCAUUCAAAACCCUCUGUUACAUGCAAGUGACAUUGCUUGUAUGUCUGCCAAGGAUCCUUUGCUGUCCCGUGUGCUAAACUGGGUUUGGAGGGGGUGGCCAAAAUCAAAAGUGGAAGACAAGUUCAAACCAUUUGUCGUGCGCCAACAUGAAUUAUCUGCCUAUAAAGGGUGCGUAUUAUGGGGAAACCGAGUGGUAAUUCCAAAUUCUGCUCUCCAUGAAGGACAUCCUGGAAUAGUUUGCAUGAAAGCUUUAGCUAGAAGUUAUAUUUGGUGGCCUAAAAUGGAUGAAGUUAUUGAAAAGUGGGUGAAGAACUGUGUACCAUGUCAAUCCACUUGUCAUGAUCCACCUGAAGCCUCAGUACAUCCAGGGCGGGCCUUAGGGGCACCGUGCGGCCGACACAGCUCCCACAUGGCCGGCCAGGAUAAAAAUAAAUAAAUUGCAGCGGGGCUGAGCUUCCCGUGCGGCGGGGGUGGAGCUUCCUGUGCGGCGGGGGCAGAGCUAAAUGUACCAGAUAACUGCUGCAGGGGAAGAAGGAGUCUCUGCUUCCCCAACAAACAGUCUCCAGGAGCUGCACUGCCUCCGCAAUGAACAGAGGUAACUAUGUGUGAUUGUCAGUGUGAGUGUGACUGUCUGCCUGUAUGUUUGUGUGACUGUCUGCCUGUGUGUGUGUGUGUGUGUCUGUGUGUGUGUGUGACUGUCUGUGUUAAGACACCCCUGGUGUCUUUAAACGAAACCGCCGUUUAGUUAGCCUUCCCCUUUCGCAAUACCAAUAACUCCGUUCGCAUAAACUGCAGUAUACGAACCACCAUCAGAGAAAGCGGUAAUCUCCCGACCGGGAUCCGUGAAAGGCUCCAAACUCCCGAACGGAAAUCCACGAACUGCUGCUAGCCACCGAACAACCAUAUCCACCAAGCGGCUUUCGGUUCCAAUAAGCAGUCUCUAAGCGCAAAUAAGAAAUCCCCCCAAUAACGAGACAGAAGCUCCGCAUUGAGGGUCAAACAGAAUCUGGCUUUACUGUGGGCUACCUGCCCGUAUUUAUGCAGGUCUCCCACUUGGUGGACACUCCCCUAGGGGACCAAAUGGGAGACUGGAAUUACAGAUAGACAUGGGGACAUUUCAGACAUACAGAUGUAACCUUUUUCCACAAUGUAAUAUGGUUUCCUCCCCUCUGCCCAGGAGAUAAUUGAUAAGUAAUUCAAUUAUCUCCAGGAUAAAGACAAAUCGCCAUCUUAAAUACAAUACCAGAAAAUACAUAAAAAUACCUAACUUUAAAAUAACCGAACAUUUCCCAUUCGCAUCACAUAUCCCCAGAUAGCCUGGAUCUGAGUGCAUAUUAUUGGCGAAUAGCGCUCAGAUCCCACACACAUAGUUCAAUCGCCAUGGAGUCAAAGUCCUUACAGUCUUUCGGUAUGCGAUUGACUCCAUGGGAAGGCUAUCUGGGUUAAGUCCUUUCGUGGUCCCGAACGGCCGGUGUUUGUACGCUUCCAUCAAGGCAGCCAGGCGACCCGUUGUUUCAGCGGUGUUCGGCAGAAAAAGUGUCCGUUUUUAGUUCCAUGGAAUCAGUGCCAAACACCGCUGGGCUUUCGUGUGUUUUAAAAUGGCCGCUGCCUCGUGAUCGACAUACGAACGACGGCCACCCUGAAUUCAGUUUAAUUGAGAAGUGUCUGCGGUUAACCACAACGUUCUAAUUGGGAUCAAGAGGUUAACCAACAGCACACUUCUUAUCCUGGGUGGCCAUCCGUUCGGUGAAUUUGUUCGGUGAAAACAGUCAUUCGUAUGGCUGGGCUAUAGAAACAGCUAUUUACACGAAAGGGGGGCAGAGAUAGACGAGUCCACCACAAUAGACAGACAGAUGGUUCUGUCACAGUCUGCCUGUGUGUUUGUGUGUCUGUCUGCCUGUGUUUGUGUGUGUGACUGCCUGCCUGUGUGUGUAUGACUGUCUGCCUGUGUGUGUGUGUGUCUGUGUGUGUGACUGUCUGCCUGUGUGUGUGUGUCUGUGACUGUCUGCCUGUGUGUGUGUCUGUGAGUGUGACUGUCUGCCUGUGUGUGUGUAUGACUGUCUGCCUGUGUGUGUAUCUGUGUGUGACUUUCUGCCUGUCUGUGUGUCUGUGUGUGUGUGUGACUGUCUGCCUGUGUCUGUGUGUGUAUGACUUUCUGCCUGUGUGUCUGUGUGUGAGACUGUCUGCCUGUGUGUGUGUCUAUGUCUGUGUGUAUAUGACUGUCUGCCUGUGUAUAUGUGUGUGUGACUGUCUGCCUGUGUGUGUGUGUGUGUGGGUAUGACUGUGUGUGUGUGUGUGUGUGUGUGUGUGUGUUUGUGUGGUCAUCUGCCUGUGUGUGUGACUGCCUGUCUGUGUGUGUGUGUGUGGAUGUCUUCCUGUGUGUGUGGCCACCUGCCUGUGUGUGUGUCUGUGACUGUCUGCCGUGUGUGUGUGUCUGUGAGUGACUGUCUUCCUGUGUGUGUGUGACUGUCUGUGUGUGUGUAUCUGUGUGUGACUUUCUGCCUGUGUGUCUGUGUGUGUGACUGUCUGCCUGUGUCUGUGUGUGUGUGGUGUCUGCCUGUGUGUGUAUGUGUGUGUGUGUGUGUAUGACUGUCUGCCUGUGUGUCUGUGUGUGUGACUGUCUGCCUGUGUGUGUUUCUAUGUAUGUGUGUGUAUGACUGUCUGCCUGUGUAUAUGUGUGUGUGACUGUCUGCCUGUGUGUGUGUGGGUAUGACUGUCUGUCUGUGUGUGUGUGUGUGUGUGUAUGACUGUCUGCCUGUGUAUGUUUGUGUGGCCAUAUGCCUGUGUGUGUUACUGCCUGUGUGUGUGUGUGUGUGUGUGGAUGUCUUCCUGUGUGUGUAUGGCCAUCUGCCUCUGUGUGUGUGUAUCUAUCUGCCUGUGUGUAUGUGUGUGGCCGUCUGUGUGGCUGCCUGUGUGUGUGGCUAACUGCCUGUGUGUGUGUGGCUGUCUGCAUGUGUGUGUGUGUGUGUAAGACUGUAUGUGUGGCUGUGUGUGUGUAUGUGUGUAAAACUGUGUGUGUGUGGCUGUCUGCCCGUGUGUGUGUGUUUGGCUGUCUGCCUGUAAUUGUGUGAAAGAGUGUUUAUCUACCUGUAACCGUGUAUGUGUGUUACUGCCUGUACCUGUGUGUUUCUGCCUGAUCCUGUGUAUGUGACUAUCUGCCUGCGACUAUGUGCAUGUGGUGAAUUUGACAGUGUAUAUGUAUAACUGUGUGCAUCUGACUGUGGGACUGUGUGCACAUAACUCUGCAAAAAUAUACACCUGCAUUCACACGUUUUAAUGAAUUAAAUAACCAUCACACACAUCCGAUAAACUCAGCACAAAUAUCACAUAUAACCAAUACACGCAUAUCACACACUGUUAAUACACCCAUUACAAAUAUUACACACAGCCAACACAUAGCAUACAUAUUACACACAGUCAUCACACGUAUCACAUACACAGACAACACAAACAUUACAUCAUACAUGGAUGACGGGGGGAGGCGGACCUGAGUACAUACUUGGGAAGUGACUAGGUCACCUUGGUUUUGUUUACAUAUAGAUUUUGCUGGCCUUUUUCAUGGACAGAUGUUUUUUUAGUUGUUGACUCUUUUUCAAAAUGGUUACAAGUUGUUCCAGUGACUACUGCUACCUCAGUCACAGUCAUAAAGAUUCUAAGGAGGCUGUUUGCUACACAUGGCUUGCCAGAUACAAUUGUGUCUGAUAAUGGAACACAAUUUACCUCAUCAGAAUUCAAAUUUUUCAUGUUACAAUUGCACCAUUUCACCCAUCAUCAAAUGGUCAAGCUGACCAUAUGGUUCAGACUACCAAAGACUCAUUGGAAUCGUAGACUUGCAAAUUUCCUUCUGCAACAACAUGUGACACCAUGCUCAAGCACUGAUAGUAGUCCAGCUGAGCUCCUUAUGAACUGGCAUCUUAAAACUUGUCUGAAUCGGUUACAUCCUGAUUUGACAUCUGAGUUACAAGAGAAGCAAGAAUUGCAAUUCAAUAAGAACUAUAAUGCUUCUACUGUGAGAAUAUUUGCACCUGACAGUGCUGUCUAUGUCAGGAACUAUGUUUCUGGGCCUGAAUGGAUACCUGCAAAAGUUAUUGUGGCCACAGGACCUUUGUCAUACAAAGUACAAAUUCCAUAUGGUAGAAUAUUACAAAGGCAUGUCGAUCUGAUUUGGGAACGGAGUGAUGAGAUUGUGCCUGCUGCCGGUCCCAGUCAUACCGGGGUUUCUGUGAUUCCAGAUGAUGUUGAACCACUGGAUGAUACAGGUCUCAGUUCUCCAGGAGUUGUUGUUGCAGAACCAGUUCUGUGCCAUCCAUCUGACAGAGCACAGGUAAAAGGGAUGGGCACAACUGAAGGUCCAGGUGAAGAAGCUCCAAACAUGGUUUUGGGACGCCCAAGAAGAAAUAUUUACCCUCCCCAUUAUCUCAAAGACUUUGAGGUCUAGGGGGGAGGAGUGUUAUGUAUUGGGGUGUUAUGCAGUCCACUUUCCAGUAGAUGGCAGCAUAGUGAAGUUAUGCACUUGUUCUGUUGUGUUAGUGUCUCUUGUGUUAUGUAAUUAUGUGUGUGUACUGAAGUAAAGAGAAGUCCUAUUUUACUACAAUGUCUGAGAGCCAUUUGUGAAUAUAUAACAUGCAAAAACCAAGGUAUUACAAAUGGGGUAUUUCCAGGCUUUUUUAGUAGCCACAUAUGUCAUAAACACUGGCCAAAGCUAGCAUUCAGAUUUGCUUAUGUGUGAAAAAUGCAAAAAACUAAUUUGAACGCAAAUUUUGGCCAGUGUUUGUGAAUAAGUGGCUACUAAAAAAGACUGGACAUACCCCAUUUGCAAUACCUUGGGUUGUCUGCUUUUGCAAAUGGUAAUUUUCAUUCCCGAACUACCAUACUGUUUUAAAGGCAAAAUAACCAAUCUAGCAAAUUUCUUUGUGAAAUAAUUGAAAUGUGAGCCUUGUAUUCAGAGUUGAGCGAACCCAAAUUGUAAAGUUCGGGUUCGUACCAAACCUAACGAUUUUUGACCCCAAACCCGGACCCAGACAUUUCAGUAACAGCUCGGGUUUUAGUUCGGUGUUCGGCGAUUUAAUUGCGCAUUUUGAAAAGCUGCAGGGCAGCCAAUCAACAAGCGUUUGACUCGUGUGCCCUUAGAAGCCAUCACAGCCAUGCCUACUAAUGGCAUGGCUGUGAUUGGCCAGUGCAGCAUGUGACCCAGCCUCUAUAUAAGCUGGAGUCACGUAGCGCCGCACGUCACAUGAGCUCUUAUUAGUGUAGGGAAAGGAUGCUGCAGCUGUUAGGGACAGAUUAGGAAAGAAUUCUGGUGUUGAAUGUGCAAACUACAGCGAUUAUUUUUGUGGGUGCUAUACUACAUUUUUGUACCCUGCCUUGAGCUGAGUGCCACAGAGAAAUAAGCAAUCAGUCUGUUUGUUAGGUGGGCGUCGGCGGUUAUUUUUGCAAGUGCAGUGCACUUGCAACUGCAUAUGUGCCAGGCACAUUACUUUAGUCCUGUUCUGGUAGCUCAUUGGCAACAUCUAGGCAUUUUUAAACACUGCUGUGACAUUGCAGUUUGACAAAUUCACAUUUUUUUUGUGCUAAAAAGUAAAUUUGGGGCGUGCAUUUCAUAUCUGAGAGUGAAACCGUCAAAUACUGCUGUGACUAGUGAUGCCGCGAACAUAAAAUUUUCGGUACGCGAACCGCGAACACGAACUUCCGCAAAUGUUCGCGAACCGGGCGAACCCGGCGAACCGCCAUAGACUUCAAUAGGCAGGCGAAUUUUAAAACCCACAGGGACUCUUUCUGGCCACAAUAGUGGUUGAAGGGGGGGGAGGAGACCUACUCUCCUCCCCCCCGGCCCCCACCCGUGGGUGGCGGGUGGGGGCCAUAAAGAUAAUGAGGGGGGACAUACUGUCCUCCCCCUCUCCGGCCCCCACCCGUGGGCGGCGGGUGGGGGCCAUAAAGAUAAUGAGGGGGGGACAUACUGUCCUCCCCCUCUCCGGCCCCCACCCCUGGGCGGCGGGUGGGGGCCAUAAUGAUAAUGAGGGGGGGGCCUACUGUCCUCCCCCCCCCGGCCCCCACCCCUCGGCGGCGGGUGGGGGCCAUAAAGAUAAUGAGGGGGGGACCUACAGUCCUCCCCCUCUCCAGCCCCCACCCCUGUGCGGCGGGUGGUGGCCCUAAAAAUAACAAUAAGGGGGGGACCUAAUGUCCCCCCCGGCCCCCACCCCUGAGCGGUGGGUGGGGGCCCUAAUAACAAUAAGGGGGGACCUAUUGUCCCCCCGUCCCCCACCCCUAAGCAAUGGGUGGGGGCCCUAAAAUUAACAAUAAGGGGGGGACCUACUGUCCCGCCUGGCCCCCACCCCUGAGCGGUGGGUGGGGACCCUAAAGAACAAAUAAGUAAGUGACCUAUCGUCUUCAGCCCCCAAACCCCUGAGCCGGGUGGGUGGUGGGGCCCUGGGGGCUCAUCAUUGCUGGGGGACCCGGCCGUCCCCUGGCCCCCACCCUGAGCCAGUGGGUGGGCCCCUGUACCAUCAACAAGGGGGACCUAUUUCCGCCCCCACCCCUGAGCGGUGGGUGGGGGCCCUAAAAAUAACAAUAAGGGGGGGACCUACUGUCCCCCCCCGGCCCCCACCCCUGAGCGGUGGGUGGGGACCCUAAUAACAAUAAGGGGGGGCUUAUUGUCCCCCCCGGCCCCCACCCCUGAGCGGUGUGUGGGGGCCUAAAAUUAACAAUAAGGGGGGGACCUAUUGUCCCCCACCCGGCCCCCACCACUGAGCGGUGGGUGGGGGCCCUAAAAUUAACAAUAAGGGGGGGACCUAUUGUCCCGCCCGGCCCCCACCCGUGAGUGGUGGGUGGGGGCCCUAAAUACAAAGGGGGGGGACCCUAGUCACCCCUCCCCCCCCCAAAAAAAAUGAUCUCCCUACCUACCCCCCUCACCCUAAAAAUAAUGGGGGGGGGACCUUUAACUAAAAACCUGUAAAAAAACAUUUGAUAAAAAUAACUUACCAUUUGAUGUUUUCUUUCUUCUACAAUCUUCUUUUUUCAGCCCCAAAAAAGGCCAAAUAAAAAGCCAUAAGAACCGACGCAACAAAAAAAAAAACGAGCGCACAAAAAAAUAAUCCAUCUUCACCCAUGGAGGGCUCCACGCAAACUGAGCUCUGCAGGGCGGGGAAGGCUUAUAAAGCCUUGCCACGCCCUGCAAUUAGGCUAAGAACACUCUGAUUGGCUGUUUUAAGCCAAUCAGAGUGCUCUUUGUCAUUUUACACACAUUUUAUGUAUUUUAUGUUAUUUUAAGUUAUUUCCCUAUCCACAUUUGUUUGCAGGGCACUUGUCCUACUCUUACCCCCAUUUUACUUCCUUUUGCAGCCCUCUAGCCCUUUCCAGGACUUUCUUAGAGCUAUUUUAGUGCCCAAAAGUUUGGGUCCCCAUUGACUUCAAUGGGUUUCGGGGUUAAGCUCGGGUCAAGUUCGAGUCCCGAACUCGAACUUUUGCCGAAGUUCGGCCGAACCCGGUGAACUCGAACAUCCAGGUGUCUGCUCAACCUAUAUUUGACUCUGUAACUUUUUAAAAAAUCAUAAAACCUGUACAUGGGGGGUACUAUUAUACUCGGGAGACUUCGCUGAACACAAAUAUUAGGGUUUCAAAUCAGUAAAAUGUAUCACAACAUUGCCCCCCCGGCCCCCAACCCUAAACGGCGGAUGGGGGCCCUAAAGUAAAAUGGGGGGGACCUAUUGUCCUGCCCCCGCCCCCACCCAUAAGCGGUGGGUGAGGGCCCUAAAUUAGAACAAGGGGGGGACCUAUUGUCCUCCCCACCAGCCCCCAUACCUGAGCGGCGGGCCCUAAAUUAGAAUAAGGGGGACCUAAUGUCCUUCCCCUUGUCCCCCACUCCUAAGCGGUGGGUAGGGGCCCUAAAUACUAAUAAGCCUAGUCAAAGCCCAUACCUCAAUCCAAUAGAAAAUCUGUGGUCAGACUUAAAGAUUGCUGUUCACAAGCACAAACCAUCCAACUUGAAGGAGCUGGAGCAGUUUUGCAAGGAAGAAUGGGCAAAAAUCCCAGUGGUAAGAUGGGGCAAGCUCAUAGAGACUUAUCCAAAGCGACUUGGAGCUGUGAUUGCCGCAAAAGGUGACUCUACAAAGUAUUGACUUUAGGGGGGUGAAUAGUUAUGCACAUUGACUUUUUCUGUUAUUUUGUCAUAUUUGUUUGCUUCACAAUAAAAAUAAAAAAAAUCUUCAAUGUUGUGGGCAUGUUCUGUAAAUUAAAUGAUGCAAAUCCUCAAACAAUCCAUGUUAAUUCCAGGUUGUGAGGCAACAAAACAUGAAAAAUGCCAAGGGGGGUGAAUACUUUUGCGAGGCACUGUAGGUCUACAAUCUUGUCCCUGAAAUCCUUGGACAGCUCUUUGGUCUUGGCCAUGGUGGAGAGAUUGACUGCUUCUGUGGACAGGUGUCUUUUAUACAGAUAACAAGCUGAGAUUAGAUGUCCUCCCCCUGGCCCCCACCCCUGAGCGGCCGGUGGGGGCCCUAAAUAAAAAUGUAACACCCCCCAGGUGACUCCCCUCCCCAAAACAACUAAGCCCUAACUACCCCCCUCACCCUAAAAAGAAUGAGGGGGGGGGCAUUAACUAAGUACCUGUAAAAAAAAUAAAACUUACCAUUUGAUGUUUUCUUUCUUCUAAAAUCUUCUUUUUUCAGCCCCCAAAAAAGGCCAGAUAAAGCCCUCCCCAAAACAACUAAGCCCUAACUACCCCCCUCACCCUAAAAAUAAUGAGGGGGGGGGGCUUUAACUAAGUACCUGUAAAAAUAAAUAAAACUUACCAUUUGAUGUUUUCUUUCUUCUAAAAUCUUCUUUUUUCAGCCCCCAAAAAAGGCCAGAUAAAAAUCUAUAAUAACCGAUGCACUUAAAAAAAAUAAGGCACAGGCUGCUCACUGUUUAAUAGACAUGCCCCUACGCGCGGUAUAACGAGUAGAGGCAAAAUGUACUAAUACUAAGUAAUUUUUACUUAGUAUUAGUAAAUUUGGCUGAAAGACCAAUUUAGGUCUUUCAGCCUUUUGGUAGAUAACCCCCUAAUACCGUGGGAAUUAGGGAGUAUCUACUAAGCGGCUGCAAGAGAAGUCCCGAAGUGCCGAAAUUCCGAAGUGUCGAAGUGCUGAAGUUGAUGAAGUUCUGAAGUGUCGAAGUGCCCUAGUGGCGAACCGGACCGCCGAAGUCCCGAAUUGCCGAAGUCCCUAAUUUCGGAAUGCCGAACCGAACCGAACUGAAAAUAUUCCCCAUUCACAUGCCUAGUAUAAACACACACACACACACACACAAUAUAAACAAUUAUAUUACACACACACUGCACCUAUAAUGGGUACAGGGUGACUAAAACAUAAGAAAAGUAAAGCAACCUACAUAAAUAGUCUGUCUGAAGGUCCAGGUGAUGGGGACUACUGUCACAUCAACAAAUAAUUAAUAGCAGCUACAUCACCAACAAAUAAUUGAUAGCAGCUACUACACAUGUGUAAAUACCCUCAAUUUUACACAAAAUCAUGUAAUAAAACAGUUAUCCAAGUGGAACCAAUCCACUACAAGUGAACCCAGUGGAGCGCUACAUAUGUACACCGUUAUAAAAAAGGGAAGAGUGGUAAAUGGUGAAGAUAUUUACUAGGACAAAACAAAGAAGACAACAAAAUAUAGAGCAGUAUGUUUCAAAAUACUGUGCCUUACAAAAGUAUUCACCCCCCUUGACUUUUUACCUAUUUUGUUAUAUUACAGCCUUAAGUUCAAUGUUUUAUUAAUCUGAAUUUAAUGUGAUGGAUCAGAACACAAUAGUCUAAGUUGGUGAAGUGAAAUAAGAAAAAUAUAUACAUAAAACUAUUUUUUAGAAAAGGAAAACAGAAAAUUGGCAUGUGAGUAUGUACUCACCCCCUUUGUUAUGAAGCCCAUAAAAAGCUCUGGUGCAAUUUAAGAGUCACAUGAUCUGUCAUUACAAAUACACACCUUUUUUGAAAGGCCCCAGAGGCUGCAACACCUAAGCAAGAGGCACCACUAACCAAACACUGCCAUGAAGACCAAGGAACUCUCCAAACAAGUAAGGGACAAUGUUGUUGAGAAGUACAAGUCAGGGUUAGGUUAUAAAAAAAAUAUCCAAAUCUUUGAUGAUCCCCAGGAGCACCAUCAAAUCAAUCAUAACCAAAUGUAAAGAACAUGGCACAACAACAAACCUGCCAAUAGAUGGCCGCCCACCAAAAUUAAUCAGAGAGGCAGCACAGAGACCUAAGGUAACCCUGGAGGAGCUGCAAAGUUCCAGAGCAGAGACUGGAGUAUCUGUACAUAGGACGACAAUAAGCCGUAUGCUCCAUAGAGUUGGGCUUUAUGGCAGAGUGGCAAGAAGAAAGCCAUUACUUUCAGUAAAAAACAAAAUGGCACGUUUUGAGUUAGCGAAAAGUCAUGUGGGAGACUCCCAAAAUGUAUGGAGGAAGGUGCUCUGAUUUGAUGAAUCUAAAUUGAACUUUUCGUCCAUCAAAGAAAACGCUAUGUCUGGCGGAAACCCAACUUAUCACAUCACCCAAAGAACACCAUCCCCACAGUGAAACAUGUUGUGGAGAUGUUUUUCAGCAGCCGGGACUGGGAAACUGGUCAGAGUUGAGGGAAAGAUGGAUGGUGCUAAAUACAGGAAUAUUCUUUAGCAAAACCUGUACCACUCUGUGUGUGAUUUGAGGCUAGGACAGAGGUUCACCUUCCAGCAGGACAAUGACCCCAAAUACACUGCUAAAGCAACACUUGAGUGUGUUAAGGGGAAACAUGUAAAUGUGUUGGAAUGGCCUAGUCAAAGCCCAUACCUCAAUCCAAUAGAAAAUCUGUGGUCAGACUUAAAGAUUGCUGUUCACAAGCACAAACCAUCCAACUUGAAGGAGCUGGAGCAAGGAAGAAUGGGCAAAAAUCCCAGUGGUAAGAUGUGGCAAGCUCAUAGAGACUUAUCCAAAGCGACUUGGAGCUGUGAUUGCCGCAAAAGGUGACAAUACAAAGUAUUGACUUUAGGAGAGUGAAUAGUUAUGCACAUUGACUUUUUCUGUUAUUUUGUAAUAUUUGUUUGCUUCACAAUAAAAAUAAAAAAAAUCUUCAAUGUUGUGGGCAUGUUCUGUAAAUUAAAUGAUGCAAAUCCUCAAACAAUCCAUGUUAAUUCCAGGUUGUGAGGCAACAAAACAUGAAAAAUGCCAAGGGGGGUGAAUACUUUUGCAAGGCACUGUAGGUCUACAAUCUUGUCCCUGAAAUCCUUGGACAGCUCUUUGGUCUUGGCCAUGGUGGAGAGAUUGACUGCUUCUGUGGACAGGUGUCUUUUAUACAGGUAACAAGCUGAGAUUAGAAGCACUCCCUUUAAGAGAGUGCUCCUAAUAUCAGUUCGUUACCUGUGUAAAAGACACCCGGGAGCCAGAAAUCUUGCUGAUUGAUGGGGGAUCAAAUACUUAAUUUACUCAUUGACAUGCAAAUCAAUUUAUAUUUUUUUUGACAUUGCCGCACAAAAGUAUAUAUUUAUUUAUAUAAGACGUUCCCGUGUAUCCCGGAAUAUUAUAUCUUUUUCUUAUCACCCCGUACACUCACGACGCUAGAGACGGCCCUGUUUUGCCACUUAGUCAUGGCGGCUUCCCAACUAAUCCCUAAACUUUGGAAGCAAUCCAGGCCACCUUCAAUUCGUGCAUGGAUACUGAGAGUUGAUGAUAUUAAAUUGAUGGAAGAAAUCACCUCAGCUAAAAUGGGAAAACAAGUUAAAUUCUUGUCCAUAUGGGACCCAUGGAUUCAUCACAUGCACUGCAACCCUCCCCCACCAAAAUAGACUGACCUAACACAUACCUUUAUCCUCAUCAAAAAUACAAGCCCUAUUCAUAAACUUCUGCCUCUCCCACCAUCAUACCACUGCAGCUUUCUCUUCCGCCCCUUCCUCCCUGGUUGAGGUUGGUGGGAGUUGAAAGUAACCGAUUGACAAGACACGUACAACCGUCACUCAAUCUUGCUUCCCUGAGGGGACAGCAAGGUACCAUCCCCUACUUUUAUACACCCGCUUUUCUUUCCAUAUACUCAAUAGUCCUCCGCCGAGCCUAGGUUUUCCGACCCACAGAGGGGAAUUAUCCCUUUAGAUACACAUGAAGCGUCCCAGUAUAGACCGGGUCUCAGGGUAUUGCACUAAUGUAAUGGUUCCUUUCAAUUAUUUAUUGCUAUAGUAUUUUUGCUUGUUAUGUUAUCCUUUCAAUUGCCUCAUUUACCACUAUUUCCUUUUUGUGGUGAUGACUCUACUACAACAUGUACCUUCCACUAUGUGAUAUUUUAGUACUGUUUAAAAUAGUGAAAUACCGAACUUGUAACCUUAAUGUAAUCUCGCUGUACCAAAACUUAUGUUUACCUAUGUCAAACAUACAAAACAAUAAAAAGAUAAAUAUAAAAAAAAAAGUAUAUAUUUAUAUGAAGCAUACAUCACAGGCUAUUUACCAAAGGGUAUUCUGACACUUUUUACAUAGCCAUUUCGCCACCAAUCUCUGCUAAAUAGUGUAGUAAAAUUGUGUUUUUUUCAGAUUUCUAACAUACACACAUAAAACAAGGAUUUUUUAUGUGUAUUUCAUAAAGCUGGUAUAUACUACUGCUGUAGAAAACCUCAUGUUGUUUUCAGCCAUAUCAACUGAGUAAAACAAUACCCCCAAUCUAUGCCUUUGCCACUAUACUGUGAAAUUACAGUGUCAUAAAUGAGACCUGACCAUUUCAGUUUUACAGUGAUAAUUUUGAUAGAUGAAUUUGAUGGCAGCAAGUCUCAUUUUGGGGCAUUUUAGCAGUUUAACUGUUGAAUUCAUCCCUCAAGGACAUACCAUUGGUGAAAGUAGACACUACAGUGUAUCACAUAUGGUGUAUAUUGUGCCUUAACGUGAUGCCAUUUUUUCACCAGUUUAUGUCAAACAGUUUUUUACAUACAUGUUACAUUUUUUGGGGGUCAUUUUUCAAGUCUGGUAUGUGCCACUGUGAUCAAAACCCCAUAAUUAUGCUCGCCAUAAUAAAAGCAAUACCCCCAAUGUAUGUCUUUGCCACUUUCCCGUGAAGCUACAGUGCCUUAAAAGAGUCCUGACCAUUACAGUUUUUACAAUUAGAAUUUUGAUAAAUGGAUUUGAUGUGUCUAUAUCACAUUUAAGGCAAAGAAGAAAGACUCACAGGCACUCCGAAUUCAAGCCGCAGGCAGUUUUAUUGUAACAGAAUGUAAUGCAACAUUUCGACUGUAAAGGUCUUUUUCAAGCUUGACAAAGACUGUGUAGGUCGAAACGUUGUGAUGGAGUGGGUUCAAUAAAAUUGCCUUACUUGUACCUUGGAGUGCCUGGACCUUUCUUCUAUUUGUUAUUUAGCAUUUGGUCUCUGGUACUGAGACUGUCCGAGUUGCACCCAGCUACAUACUGCUUAAAGGGAUAGAGUGCAGUUCCACACCCUACCAUAACUACUUCUGAAUUGUGAGUACCAUUGGAAAUUUGCACCUCCCUAACAAUUUUUGUAUUGGCUACAUUUAUGGCUAUUUGACUGCAAAUAUUUUUAGUGCAAAUCUAUAAUUUUAAUCAGUUUACUAAUUUUUUGGCAUAAUGGAACCCAUGAUCCAGCCCAGCACAAGCUUUUAUGUCUAUUUGGAUGAAGGAACGAGGCGAAUUUUAUCUGCUGCAGAAAGUAUUUUUGAACUUUUUAAUACACCAAGUGGGCAAACUAUAAUUAAAGAGUUGGUAAAAGCCUUAAAGAGAAAAAAUAUGAGCUUUACAUUGCACAGUGAUUAUGUUUAAAUGAAAUGUAUACCAAGGGGGACGUGUAUGUAAGCACAACCUAUUUCAUUGAAGGAUAAUAUUGAAUAUUGUACAAGGCUUGAGGGAAUUUUGAAUAAAUGUUCCAUGGUCUGGAUAUUAUUAAAUCUGGAAUUUCUACAAAGCUCAUCUAUUAAGAAAAAAGAGCAAAUCAAAAUAGAAAAGUAACUUCCAAUCCAACAUUAGGUUUAAUUCUUCACAAGAAAAUCGAUCCAGUAACAGUUCAGUGUAUUUUGUUUCAGAAGAAACUCCCAGGGGAUUGUUCAGCGGAGAAACAUUGGAAGAAUCCGAAGGGGUGGCCAUAAGUAGCAGGAAUUUGCCAGCAAUAUGGACAAACAAAGGCCCUCAGAAGAUGAAGAAACAAU
Molecule: long non-coding RNA, 60877 nt
Filed under: Pelobates cultripes (western spadefoot toad)
Lineage: Eukaryota; Metazoa; Chordata; Amphibia; Anura; Pelobatidae
Source: RNAcentral